CUUUAUUGAACGAUGGGGUCUCAAAUGGGCUGCCUCUUUGCCACUCUUUUGGUAGUAUCAGUCUCUCUUAGCUACUUGCCGUUAGAAGCCUCCGCAAACAAAUACUACUACACAUCUCCUCCCCCUCCCAAGUACAAGUCUCCACCACCACCCCCGCCACCGGUUCACAAUUCUCCACCACCACCCCCGGUUUACCUGCCCCCGCCACCUCCUCCACCAGUCUACGUGCCUGCUCCGGCACCAACUCCAAUUUUCCCUUCUCCGCCACCUCCUGUCCCCAAGUCCCCACCACCACCUCACCCUUACGUCUAUGCAUCUCCCCCUCCUCCUUACUACUACUAGAAAGCGGCCAUGAAUAGCUCAUGCUUUUAUGGUAAUCUCAUUUAUUUUUAAAACUGUACAUGUAAAGACUAGUAGUUCAGAAUUACAUUAAGCAUUUCAAUUUUAAGCACCGUGUUCUGUUUAAUUGCGUUCCUAUUGAUUAAGUGACAAAUAAAAGAGAUUGAUUAAUUUGUUCUUGUAGGAGAGGCGAAUGGUAUCCGAAUAAAGAAAGCAAGGGUUUGAUGGAAGGCUUACUUGGAGCAAGAUAGCGAUCAAUCGAGUUGCUGCGUUUUAUUCUCUUUUAUCUUUGUUUUUUAAGAAAAAUAAACUGCCACACGUAGAAACAGAAAAUUAAGUUCUUGUCAUUUUCAUGCAUAUGGAUUGUUGCUGUGUGUGUCAAUCAAAUCUCCGUUGUGUCAUUUGUAAUUUUCAACCUUUAUGCAUGCAAAUGCGAGACCUCUUACGUAUAAUAAAAUUAAUAUACUUCCCAAGAUGGUCUUAUCUUGCGUUGACUUUUUACGUUCCUUUGGUGAUGAUUUUGACGUUUGAAAUUGAUGACUAAUUGACUAUUGUUUUUGUAAACUCUGACAUGGAUUUUUCGUGCAACUACAGAGCGCAUUAACGAGAGACUUAUCCAUGAGGGUCCAUGCAGAUCAGUGUCUAAUUAACCAAUAAUUAAUAUAACUAAAAAAAUAUAGAGUUAACUAUUUUUAUGGGUCAGGCUCAAUUGCAGAUGUUCGUACAAAAUUUCUUGCUAAUGUAUACUUGAGUAUGAUAAUAAGUUUUAAUCAUUAUUAAUAAUUCACUUGAUAAUAUUAAACAAAUUUUCAUAUCAAUUAAGUUACAAAAUUUCUGUGACAAAUUUCCGCGUACUGGAACCAUGCAAAAGGGCUUUAUUCAAACAAAACUGCAUAGCCGUUGGCAAUUAAAAUUAUUUAUCAAUUAAGUUAAGUAGUAAGAAUUGGAUUGUGGAUUCCAUUAAUUAUUUCAAGGAAAAUUUUAUAGAUAAUGCCGUAAUGAAAUUUACGGCAUCAAUACCAUGAUAAAUAUAAAUAUUGUAAAUUACAAAUAGAAUUAGUAAAUGUAAAGUAAAACCAGUAAAUUCAUAAAAGAUUAUUAAUUAUUUAAAAAAUUAACAUUGUUUCUACAUAAUUUUAGUGAAAAAUAUUUUAUUCAUUUACAAAAACAUUUCUUUAAUUAAACAAAAAAAUUCAUUAAUUAAGCAAAAAAAUUAUACUGAAAAAAAAGUGGAAUAAGUUUAAUUGAAUUGGUUAUCAUAAAUUCUAUAUUUAGUCUAGGACAUUUUUAUACAUUUUCUUCCCAUUUUCGAUAAUGAUAUCUAUUUGUUACACAUGUUAAUUAAGUGCAAUUAUUUAUCUUGAUGUGGAUCAAGUAAAAAAAUAUCAUAAAUAAGAUAUCAAUAAAAUUAGAUCUAAUUUUGAAUAUUAUGUAUACUUUAUGUAGUUUCAAACUUUUUACUUGUAUUUGGAGACCAUUUAAGGUUGUUGUUGAAGAAGUGUAGAAAGAUGUAAAAUAACUUCAUCUUACAACAACUAUGAAAGAUAUUAAAAUAAUAAUUUUUUCAAAAUCCGAUUUUGAGAAAAAAAUUCAUCCUUAAUUAAACAUCACAUGUAUUAUAGAAAUGCAAAACUACCAUUGUUAUAUUUAACUUAAAAAAUAAUAAAUAUAUAAGGUAAUAAACAUUAUAAAGAGUUUUUAUUUUAAAAUUGUAAACUUUUGUUUCUGACAAUAACUCUUAUAUUAAUUUAUUUAUUUUGCCUUUUAUUCAUAAGUUUUAUGCAUAAUUUACAAACUUUAAGUUUUAUUUUGCAUUUUAUGUUGAUUUGGUUUUUUUAUAUUAUACGUACAAGUUUUCUUUUUAUUUACCAGUAAUACAUCAAUUUAUCAGCUUGAUAGUAAUUUACUUAUUUUACCUUCCUUUUACAAUUCUUAUGUUUCAUUUCCAAAAUUUAUGUUUUAUUUUACAGUUGUUGAUGAUUUACUAGUUUUAUGUUAUGUUUGCAAGUUUUUGUUUUGUUUACUAGUAAUAGAUUAAUGGGUAAUUUUUAAUUGAGUCCUCAUUAGUUCUAGAAAAACAAUUCAGAGACCAGAAGUUUACUAAAUGAAUCAAUUAAAUUCUUUCAAGUACAAACUAAUGUCAUUCAAGUCCUUAACUUAAUUGGUCAGUUAAAAAUAUUAACAACGUUGAGGACAUUUUAGUAAAACAACAAUUGAGUCGUUUCUCAUUCUUUAUUUUUGACAGGUGGAAAUAGUUUAAAGUAAACUCACUUAACCUGAUUAAGUUAAGGAUCAGUUCUUUCAAAUGAAAAAAAAAAAAAAAACCUACAGAAACUGCCAUAUUCUUCGUGUGGGAGGAGAGAUCGAGAGAACGUGGGAUGGUGCAAAAAAUGUUGUAUAAAUCUACUGUGAUUUUGACCAAAGCUUUGGUAGCAUUGAUUGAGUUCAAGUACUGGAGAGAACCUGAGUUUAAAGGUUAGUAACUCUAUUUUUUUAGUGAUUUCUGCAAGCAUUUUCUGAUAAAAAAUUUUCCGUAUUGAGUGAUCGUUGUGAAAAAUUAAGUUUUUCAAGUCUAUUUUACAAAAUGACAAACUAUGUUUAAUUAUUGAUGGAUUCUUUUUUUUGUUCAAUGUUGUAUUUUGUUAAUUUGUUGUUUUUAAUUUGCUCUUAAUGUAAUUGUUAGACCAAAUACACCAUUAUUAUACCUGUAUUCAUUUCAACAAUUUGGUAUCGUUAUAUUAAUAAGAUUGAAUUCAUUGUAUUUGCUUCUUUGUUCAUGUAAAAUUGAAUUCUAUGUAUUCUUAUGAGUGAUAAUUUUUCUAUCUAUUAGACUAAAUUCACUAUAUUCACUACUUUCUUUCUUUUUGCUGGGCUAUUUUUUCUUUUUAGUUUAUAUUUUUUAUAUGUAUUAGAUUGAAUUUGCUUUUGUACGUUUUUUUUAGCCGAAUUACAUGUAUAUUUCAUUUAGGUUGAGUUUUUUUUGUUGUUUGCUAAAUAAAAUUAUAUUGGUUUAUCCCUUUUUUAUGCAAUACUUUUUGUUUAAAAUUAAUACAGUUAGCCAUGUUACCUUUUUUUUCGGUUAAAAUUAAUGGGGUGAUGUAGGCGAUAGGAUAUAGGGAACCAGAGGAAUAUAAGAUUAUUAGGCUGUUUCUUGAAAUUCAAGAUGUCAUGGUUAAGCAUGGACACAGUGAAAUGGAUUUGAUUGAAAUUUUUGUUGUAUUGCCAUGGACUACAAGUGGCCAGAGGAAGCUAAUUUCAAACGAUAGUGAAUUGUAUUGGGUUUUCGAGGAGUUUUUUUUAAUCAAUAGUUGUCCUGUCAUUGAGUUUGAGGUGCACACUGGGUCAGGUGGUCAGUCAUUUCAUGAAAGUGUUGUAAUAGGACCUGAAAAUCCUGUCAAUAUUAAAAAUUAGUGUUGUAAUAGUGAUAAGUUUGAAAAUGUUGUGGCUAAAAAGGUCUGCCUAGAAUAAUUGGUACUUCUUUAUUUGCCUCAAAGUCCAACACUAUGAAAUCCACAAGGAAAAAGAAUUUAUCCACUUUAACCAGCACGUCUUCAAUCUUGCCUUCAGGAUAAGCAUGAGAUCUGGCAGCACAUUGCAAUGUCACUGUGGUUGGUUUGACUUCUCCAACUCCCAAUUGCUUGAAUUCUGAUAAUGUCAUAAGAUUGAUGCUUGCUCCCAAACCACAAAGUGUCUUGCCACUGUAUUUAGUUCCUAUGGAACAAUGAAUUGUGAAACUUCCUGGAUCCUUCAACUUCUGAGGCAUUUUACUCUGAAGCAUAUGGCUGCAUUCUUGUGUUAGACCAACUAUUUCAAAUUCUCCGAGCCUCAUUUUCCUUGCCAAUAUACAUUUCCAAAACUUUACAUAAUUUGGCAUUUGUUCUAAUGCUUCCACAAAAGAAAUGUUGAUAUGCAGUUCUUUCCAUACUUCCAAGAAUUUACUGAACUGCAUGUCUUGCUUUCGCUUUUGAAAUCUUUGUGGGAAGGGUGGUGGAUGUGUAAAUUGUUGUACUGCAGCAGACUAUACAUAUUGCUUUUCUCUUGCUCUAUUAUGGUAUGUUAUUAUUGGUGUUGCAGCUUCUUCCUCAACAAGCAUUGAAUCAUGUUUUUUUGCAGUUGCUAUAACUUAGCAACUCUCACCAGUGUGCUGGAAAAUGGGUUGUUGUGUCUCUUCUUUAAUUUGAGUUUCCCCUUGGGUUGAAUUAGGUUCCACUCUUCUUUUUGGUACUUUAACAAGUAUAUGAACAUCCUUUCCAAACCUUAAGUUAAUCCCCUUACAAUGCUCUUUUCCUUCUCUCUUUCGAUCCUCUGUAUUGUUUAGUAAAUUGUCCUGAGGUAUGUUGCUCAAUUUUGUAGCAAGCUGUCCAAUCUUAUUCUCCAAGUUUCUUAAAAAUACAGCUUGGCUUUAGACCACUACUCCAAUCUUUACAAUAUACUCCUUAAUCAGAGUUUCAAUGGAACUAAAUUGAUCAUUACUGGUGUUUCUUUACCCUUCAAAUUUCUGGUGAAAAUCAGGUGGCUGAGCAAGUCUGUUCUGUCCACUGGAUGCUGCAGCAUGCUGAUUCUGAUUGCUCCUUUUAAAAUUUGGGUGAUGUCUCCAUCCUAGGUUAUAGGUGUUUGAAAAUGGAUUGCUUUGAUUUUGUUUAUUAAAAUUGCCCACAUAAUUGACGGAAGCUGAAUUCCUAGGACAAUUAUGAUAUAGAUGUCCCUCUCCAUAAUAAACACAAGAGACUUCAGCAAUUUGGUUAACUGUUGCCGGAGCAGUGGCCGUUGCUUUUACCAUAUUUGUCAAUGAGGUUACUUGGGCUGAUAAUGUUGUCAGUGCAUCCACAUUGUGUACUCCUGCUGCUCCUCUCACUGUGGCUUGUCUAGUUGAUGGCCAUUGAUAGUUAUCCUUUCUAAAAUUUCAUAAGCCUCAUUAUAUGAGUUAGACAAUAAAGCCCCUAGUUAUUGAGUUCAACCCAUUGUAGAAAGUUUCCAAUUGUAUGCAAUAAGGAAUACCAUGAUGAGGGCAUCUCCUGAGUAACCCCUUGAAUCUUUCUCAUGCAUCAUACAAGCUUUCAUCUUCAAGUUGAUGGAAAGAUGUGAUCUCAUUCUUCAACUUUGCAUUCUUUGUUGGUGGGAAAUAUUUCAUCAAAAGUUUGUCAGCCAAAUAAUUCCAUGUGGUGAUGGAGUCUGGUUGCAAAGAACUCCACUGUACCAACUAAAAUUGAUUUCACAAAACACAAUAAGCACCAAUCCCCGGCAACGGCGCAAAAAACUUGUUGUCGAUUUUCUAAUGCUAUUAGUGUCAAUGUGAAAAUGUACACAACAAGUAAUAUAACGAUAAGUAUUCACUCCACAAGGAUUAUUAUUAUAGGAAUUGCUACAGUAAUUCUAUCAGUGCCAUUCUUAUUAUAAAUUAGAAUUUAAACAAAUUAUUCAACUAAUGAACUAAGGCAGAUCUUAUUGGGCUAGUCGGCAAUGUGUUGCUUUAGGUCGUGUGGAAUAGUUGCGGGAGUGAUCUUGCAUGAUGUGUGGAGCUAUAACAGUGCUGAGCAUGGGCCAAUCUAUGGGCUCAUGGAACUAGCGAACCUAAUCUAGAAUUUCGAGGAAGAGUACUCUGGUUAGUACUCUAAAUUACCUUAUUAUAUUUUGCACAAACAGAGGCAUGUUAGUGAAAUAAUAUCUAAGCAACCCAAGAGGGGGGUGAAUUGGGUUUCUAAAAAUUAUGCAAUUCUUAAACAAAACUUAAUGCAAAUCUUAAACGAAUUUAAAGCAAUAAUACAUAAAUCAACCAAGGUAUAAAAAGAUAAGGGAAGAGAGAUUAAAACACAGAGAGUUUUACGUGGUUCGGCCAACCUUGCCUACAUCCACACCCCCAAGCACACCGAGCUUGGGCAUUCCACUAGUCAAGCCUUCAAGGCUUCAAGAACACUUACAAUUGACUUCUUAGGUGUCAAUCAACCUUUACAUCUAGAGAUUAUCCCCAAUCUCUUAACCCAAGUGUAUCCCAAUAUUUACAAUCACUCAAAAUAAAGAUUACAAAUUUAUUUUUCUCUCACACAAUUUUUUAAGAUUACAAAUCAACGCUUAAUGUGUGAAUAAAUGAACAAGAAUGAAUUUGAAGCUCAAUGAAUGUUGUAUUCUCGAUUAUAAGCUCAAUGAUAACGUUGUGAUAAGCUCUUGUUUGAAUUUGAUUGAUCUUAUUUAUAGUUGGAGUUGAAAAAUAGCCAUUGUUGACUUUUUCCCGAAAUUGGAUCGCCGUUAACCGUUAUCGGUUAACCGUUUUGACUGGUCCAAGUGACCGUUGAGCUGAAUUUCAAAUAAACGGUUGAUCUUUUGACACUAUCGGUUUGCUGUUAAUUUCCAUAAACCUGUAAAACAAAUUUAUGCUAUUCGUUCUUGCUAAACGGUUGAAGGUCAGCAUGGAAUGACAUUCUAGAAAUUAUUGGUUGGCCGUUUGAAGUUCACGGUUCACCGUUUACUUCUAGAAUCACAGUUUUAACCAAAUUUCGCAGGGAAUGCUUUUUCGGUUAAAGUUAACGAUUAUCCAUAUUUCAUGAACACAUUUAGAAAAAUCAUACGACUUUUGAGAAAUUGUUUAGUAAUGAAAACUCUAACAUUUUAAUCAAAUACAUUUAAAGUUUGUUAUCAUCAAAAUCAAUAUAAUGAACAUCUACAUGUUAACAGUUAGGCCUUGAUUAUUUUUUAAAUCUUAUAAGAUAUAGAGUGAUAAUAGUAACUCAAUUUUCAUAAAACGUGGAAAGAUCAGUCGCCAAAUUUAUAGAUGCCAUAGAAAACCUAGAUUUUAGUAAGGAAUAUCAAGUUAUUUAUACAAUGAAAAUUGUUAAAACUCGAUUAAUUGCAAGGAAACACUUUUAGAGAGAUAUGGAGAGAAUAAACUUUGAAGAUAACAAUGAAAUACAUGACACAUUUAAGGAAGAAAAUAUAAUAGUAUUAAUAGAAUCUAUUUUAACCGGUCUUAAGAUAAUUCAAGAUUGAUGCAAAAUAAAUAACAGGACUCUAAACCGUCCAUAAUAAGUCUAUUGAUUAAUAAUAACAAUAAUAGUGAUGUGAAAUUUUUUAUUCAGAAUGCUCAAUUUAGAUUAUAAUAUCUAUGUGAAAGCAUUGAUGGCAUGUACCUUGGUUAGGAAAAUAGAUUGGACACAUGGAUAUAUAUGUUGGAAGAACAAAUCUAGUUUAUAUCUCAAGAGAGAUAAUAAAUUAUAAAUGACGGUGCUAUAGUAUAUUCAGAUUUUAUAAAUCUUUAUAAAUUUAAUAAUCAUUUAGAUCUUCAUAAUAUUAUAAUAAAACUUUAAAAAACUUUAAAAAUAUAUGUAGAAGAGAUGGAAGAAGAAAUCAUCCAAUUAUUCAAAAUCAAUUAAACAAAAAUAGAAGGUAAAAUCCUUGAAUUAUAUAAAUUAUACAAUUUCACAGAAAUUUUGCAUAUAUUGCGAAACGGUCCUUGUGGCACUAAUUAUGGGACUAGUGUAGCAUAAAUACUAAUAUUGCUUUUUAUUUUGUAAAUUAAUUGUUGCGUCAUAAUUUUUUUACAUACACAUUUUAUGUUUUAAAAUAUGAUUUUUUUUUUGUAUUUAGGGUUAAUUUUACAAUUUCAUACUUUGUUCAAUUAUAUGUACAGGUCCUUCACGUGUUGGUUGAUGUUGAAUAUUCAAAGAUCCACAAGCUAUCAACGACAACGAAUCAAAUUAAACUAAUUAGUUAAUACAUAAUGACUGGGUUGUUUCCUAUGUUGUUAAUGAUGUAGAACGUUAUUUUAGGAUUUUAGAAUUUUAAUUUUUAGGUCUUCUGAUAUUUUCUUUUUUAAUUAAAGUUAGUGUCUUAGUUUUUUAUUUAUUUAUGUUAUAAUUAUAAUUUACUUUCUCUUUUUAAGUUAACUUAGGAAAAUAUAUUUACUGUAUUAUAAAUAAAGAGAUCUUGUUAUUACUUUAUAACUUCAACUUCAGUUAUUCAAUUAAAAACCCCUCUUUUAUAAUUUCCUUUUGUAUUAUCUAUUAAAAACCCCUCUUUUAAAGUUGUUUGAUUAGAGCAUCAUCUAGCCUUGCUUAACGCAGUAUAAAAAAUCCCUUUGAGUUUAAUCACACGUCGAUUAGAGCGUAACUUAAUCGCAUUGACUUGGUCCAUGACUUGAACGAUAUCUAGUGUUUUGCUUCCGCUAUGCCCAAGGAGAAAAUUAAUUUCACCGUGAGAUAAGAGCAUUAAAAGGAAUUCAUAAGAAAUUUAAAUUAAAGCUAUAUAUGUUAAAUAUAUCGCUAGCUACUUGUUUUUGGAGGAAUUAAAACAAUUAAUAAGCUGCGAAGUGAAAAUGAAUAAAUAAAUGAAAUGAGGUUGAAAAUAAGUCUCGCCGCCUGGAUCCAAGGCCAAAACAUUCAUGAUAAGUUAGGUAAUUAAGUACAUGUUUUCAAGCUCUUCAUGAAGAAUAACGUUAUUGAAAUAAAUCACAAAGACUCCCUGCGCAAAUUAUUACAUUGAUUAAAAAAAAAAGCCAUAUCUUUAACAGGAUCGUGACUCUCGGACUGUUAAUUACUUUAUUCCCUGCUUGGCCAACAGCUGGCCACUAAACAAAAUCAUAAAAAUUUUAAAUUUAGUCAAAUUGGUCCCACUUGAUGACAUCCUUUUCAUACAUAAAAUUGUUAACGUCAAGGUUAAAUAUGAGAAGUUUGGUAGAGAAGGUAAAAAGGAAGUCUAUAUAAGGAGGGGAACGAGCUUUGUUUAUAGCACAAGUGAAACUCCACUUUAUUGAACGAUGGGGUCUCAAAUGGGCUGCCUCUUUGCCACUCUUUUGGUAGUAUCAGUCUCUCUUAGCUACUUGCCGUUAGAAGCCUCCGCAAACAAAUACUACUACACAUCUCCUCCCCCUCCCAAGUACAAGUCUCCACCACCACCCCCGCCACCGGUUCACAAUUCUCCACCACCACCCCCGGUUUACCUGCCCCCGCCACCUCCUCCACCAGUCUACGUGCCUGCUCCGGCACCAACUCCAAUUUUCCCUUCUCCGCCACCUCCUGUCCCCAAGUCCCCACCACCACCUCACCCUUACGUCUAUGCAUCUCCCCCUCCUCCUUACUACUACUAGAAAGCGGCCAUGAAUAGCUCAUGCUUUUAUGGUAAUCUCAUUUAUUUUUAAAACUGUACAUGUAAAGACUAGUAGUUCAGAAUUACAUUAAGCAUUUCAAUUUUAAGCACCGUGUUCUGUUUAAUUGCGUUCCUAUUGAUUAAGUGACAAAUAAAAGAGAUUGAUUAAUUUGUUCUUGUAGGAGAGGCGAAUGGUAUCCGAAUAAAGAAAGCAAGGGUUUGAUGGAAGGCUUACUUGGAGCAAGAUAGCGAUCAAUCGAGUUGCUGCGUUUUAUUCUCUUUUAUCUUUGUUUUUUAAGAAAAAUAAACUGCCACACGUAGAAACAGAAAAUUAAGUUCUUGUCAUUUUCAUGCAUAUGGAUUGUUGCUGUGUGUGUCAAUCAAAUCUCCGUUGUGUCAUUUGUAAUUUUCAACCUUUAUGCAUGCAAAUGCGAGACCUCUUACGUAUAAUAAAAUUAAUAUACUUCCCAAGAUGGUCUUAUCUUGCGUUGACUUUUUACGUUCCUUUGGUGAUGAUUUUGACGUUUGAAAUUGAUGACUAAUUGACUAUUGUUUUUGUAAACUCUGACAUGGAUUUUUCGUGCAACUACAGAGCGCAUUAACGAGAGACUUAUCCAUGAGGGUCCAUGCAGAUCAGUGUCUAAUUAACCAAUAAUUAAUAUAACUAAAAAAAUAUAGAGUUAACUAUUUUUAUGGGUCAGGCUCAAUUGCAGAUGUUCGUACAAAAUUUCUUGCUAAUGUAUACUUGAGUAUGAUAAUAAGUUUUUAAUCAUUAUUAAUAAUUCACUUGAUAAUAUUAAACAAAUUUUCAUAUCAAUUAAGUUACAAAAUUUCUGUGACAAAUUUCCGCGUACUGGAACCAUGCAAAAGGGCUUUAUUCAAACAAAACUGCAUAGCCGUUGGCAAUUAAAAUUAUUUAUCAAUUAAGUUAAGUAGUAAGAAUUGGAUUGUGGAUUCCAUUAAUUAUUUCAAGGAAAAUUUUAUAGAUAAUGCCGUAAUGAAAUUUACGGCAUCAAUACCAUGAUAAAUAUAAAUAUUGUAAAUUACAAAUAGAAUUAGUAAAUGUAAAGUAAAACCAGUAAAUUCAUAAAAGAUUAUUAAUUAUUUAAAAAAUUAACAUUGUUUCUACAUAAUUUUAGUGAAAAAUAUUUUAUUCAUUUACAAAAACAUUUCUUUAAUUAAACAAAAAAAUUCAUUAAUUAAGCAAAAAAAUUAUACUGAAAAAAAAGUGGAAUAAGUUUAAUUGAAUUGGUUAUCAUAAAUUCUAUAUUUAGUCUAGGACAUUUUUAUACAUUUUCUUCCCAUUUUCGAUAAUGAUAUCUAUUUGUUACACAUGUUAAUUAAGUGCAAUUAUUUAUCUUGAUGUGGAUCAAGUAAAAAAAUAUCAUAAAUAAGAUAUCAAUAAAAUUAGAUCUAAUUUUGAAUAUUAUGUAUACUUUAUGUAGUUUCAAACUUUUUACUUGUAUUUGGAGACCAUUUAAGGUUGUUGUUGAAGAAGUGUAGAAAGAUGUAAAAUAACUUCAUCUUACAACAACUAUGAAAGAUAUUAAAAUAAUAAUUUUUUCAAAAUCCGAUUUUGAGAAAAAAAUUCAUCCUUAAUUAAACAUCACAUGUAUUAUAGAAAUGCAAAACUACCAUUGUUAUAUUUAACUUAAAAAAUAAUAAAUAUAUAAGGUAAUAAACAUUAUAAAGAGUUUUUAUUUUAAAAUUGUAAACUUUUGUUUCUGACAAUAACUCUUAUAUUAAUUUAUUUAUUUUGCCUUUUAUUCAUAAGUUUUAUGCAUAAUUUACAAACUUUAAGUUUUAUUUUGCAUUUUAUGUUGAUUUGGUUUUUUUAUAUUAUACGUACAAGUUUUCUUUUUAUUUACCAGUAAUACAUCAAUUUAUCAGCUUGAUAGUAAUUUACUUAUUUUACCUUCCUUUUACAAUUCUUAUGUUUCAUUUCCAAAAUUUAUGUUUUAUUUUACAGUUGUUGAUGAUUUACUAGUUUUAUGUUAUGUUUGCAAGUUUUUGUUUUGUUUACUAGUAAUAGAUUAAUGGGUAAUUUUUAAUUGAGUCCUCAUUAGUUCUAGAAAAACAAUUCAGAGACCAGAAGUUUACUAAAUGAAUCAAUUAAAUUCUUUCAAGUACAAACUAAUGUCAUUCAAGUCCUUAACUUAAUUGGUCAGUUAAAAAUAUUAACAACGUUGAGGACAUUUUAGUAAAACAACAAUUGAGUCGUUUCUCAUUCUUUAUUUUUGACAGGUGGAAAUAGUUUAAAGUAAACUCACUUAACCUGAUUAAGUUAAGGAUCAGUUCUUUCAAAUGAAAAAAAAAAAAAAAAACCUACAGAAACUGCCAUAUUCUUCGUGUGGGAGGAGAGAUCGAGAGAACGUGGGAUGGUGCAAAAAAUGUUGUAUAAAUCUACUGUGAUUUUGACCAAAGCUUUGGUAGCAUUGAUUGAGUUCAAGUACUGGAGAGAACCUGAGUUUAAAGGUUAGUAACUCUAUUUUUUUAGUGAUUUUUGCAAGCAUUUUCUGAUAAAAAAUUUUCCGUAUUGAGUGAUCGUUGUGAAAAAUUAAGUUUUUCAAGUCUAUUUUACAAAAUGACAAACUAUGUUUAAUUAUUGGUGGAUUCUUUUUUUUGUUCAAUGUUGUAUUUUGUUAAUUUGUUGUUUUUAAUUUGCUCUUAAUGUAAUUGUUAGACCAAAUACACCAUUAUUAUACCUAUAUUCAUUUCAACAAUUUGGUAUCGUUAUAUUAAUAAGAUUGAAUUCAUUGUAUUUGCUUCUUUGUUCAUGUAAAAUUGAAUUCUAUGUAUUCUUAUGAGUGAUAAUUUUUCUAUCUAUUAGACUAAAUUCACUAUAUUCACUACUUUCUUUCUUUUUGCUGGGCUAUUUUUUCUUUUUAGUUUAUAUUUUUAUAUGUAUUAGAUUGAAUUUGCUUUUGUACGUUUUUUUAGCCGAAUUACAUGUAUAUUUCAUUUAGGUUGAGUUUUUUUUGUUGUUUGCUAAAUAAAAUUAUAUUGGUUUAUCCCCUUUUUAUGCAAUACUUUUUGUUUAAAAUUAAUACAGUUAGCCAUGUUACCUUUUUUUUCAGUUAAAAUUAAUGGGGUGAUGUAGGCGAUAGGAUAUAGGGAACCAGAGGAAUAUAAGAUUAUUAGGCUGUUUCUUGAAAUUCAAGAUGUCAUGGUUAAGCAUGGACACAGUGAAAUGGAUUUGAUUGAAAUUUUUGUUGUAUUGCCAUGGACUACAAGUGGCCAGAGGAAGCUAAUUUCAAACGAUAGUGAAUUGUAUUGGGUUUUCGAGGAGUUUUUUUUAAUCAAUAGUUGUCCUGUCAUUGAGUUUGAGGUGCACACUGGGUCAGGUGGUCAGUCAUUUCAUGAAAGUGUUGUAAUAGGACCUGAAAAUCCUGUCAAUAUUAAAAAUUAGUGUUGUAAUAGUGAUAAGUUUGAAAAUGUUGUGGCUAAAAAGGUCUGCCUAGAAUAAUUGGUACUUCUUUAUUUGCCUCAAAGUCCAACACUAUGAAAUCCACAAGGAAAAAGAAUUUAUCCACUUUAACCAGCACGUCUUCAAUCUUGCCUUCAGGAUAAGCAUGAGAUCUGGCAGCACAUUGCAAUGUCACUGUGGUUGGUUUGACUUCUCCAACUCCCAAUUGCUUGAAUUCUGAUAAUGUCAUAAGAUUGAUGCUUGCUCCCAAACCACAAAGUGUCUUGCCACUGUAUUUAGUCCCUAUGGAACAAUGAAUUGUGAAACUUCCUGGAUCCUUCAACUUCUGAGGCAUUUUACUCUGAAGCAUAUGGCUGCAUUCUUGUGUUAGACCAACUAUUUCAAAUUCUCCGAGCCUCAUUUUCCUUGCCAAUAUACAUUUCCAAAAACUUUACAUAAUUUGGCAUUUGUUCUAAUGCUUCCACAAAAGAAAUGUUGAUAUGCAGUUCUUUCCAUACUUCCAAGAAUUUACUGAACUGCAUGUCUUGCUUUCGCUUUUGAAAUCUUUGUGGGAAGGGUGGUGGAUGUGUAAAUUGUUGUACUGCAGCAGACUAUACAUAUUGCUUUUCUCUUGCUCUAUUAUGGUAUGUUAUUAUUGGUGUUGCAGCUUCUUCCUCAACAAGCAUUGAAUCAUGUUUUUUUGCAGUUGCUAUAACUUAGCAACUCUCACCAGUGUGCUGGAAAAUGGGUUGUUGUGUCUCUUCUUUAAUUUGAGUUUCCCCUUGGGUUGAAUUAGGUUCCACUCUUCUUUUUGGUACUUUAACAAGUAUAUGAACAUCCUUUCCAAACCUUAAGUUAAUCCCCUUACAAUGCUCUUUUCCUUCUCUCUUUCGAUCCUCUGUAUUGUUUAGUAAAUUGUCCUGAGGUAUGUUGCUCAAUUUUGUAGCAAGCUGUCCAAUCUUAUUCUCCAAGUUUCUUAAAAAUACAGCUUGGCUUUAGACCACUACUUCAAUCUUUACAAUAUACUCCUUAAUCAGAGUUUCAAUGGAACUAAAUUGAUCAUUACUGGUGUUUCUUUACCCUUCAAAUUUCUGGUGAAAAUCAGGUGGCUGAGCAAGUCUGUUCUGUCCACUGGAUGCUGCAGCAUGCUGAUUCUGAUUGCUCCUUUUAAAAUUUGGGUGAUGUCUCCAUCCUAGGUUAUAGGUGUUUGAAAAUGGAUUGCUUUGAUUUUGUUUAUUAAAAUUGCCCACAUAAUUGACGGAAGCUGAAUUCCUAGGACAAUUAUGAUAUAGAUGUCCCUCUCCAUAAUAAACACAAGAGACUUCAGCAAUUUGGUUAACUGUUGCCGGAGCAGUGGCCGUUGCUUUUACCAUAUUUGUCAAUGAGGUUACUUAGGCUGAUAAUGUUGUCAGUGCAUCCACAUUGUGUACUCCUGCUGCUCCUCUCACUGUGGCUUGUCUAGUUGAUGGCCAUUGAUAGUUAUCCUUUCUAAAAUUUCAUAAGCCUCAUUAUAUGAGUUAGACAAUAAAGCCCCUAGUUAUUGAGUUCAACCCAUUGUAGAAAGUUUCCAAUUGUAUGCAAUAAGGAAUACCAUGAUGAGGGCAUCUCCUGAGUAACCCCUUGAAUCUUUCUCAUGCAUCAUACAAGCUUUCAUCUUCAAGUUGAUGGAAAGAUGUGAUCUCAUUCUUCAACUUUGCAUUCUUUGUUGGUGGGAAAUAUUUCAUCAAAAGUUUGUCAGCCAAAUAAUUCCAUGUGGUGAUGGAGUCUGGUUGCAAAGAACUCCACUGUACCAACUAAAAUUGAUUUCACAAAACACAAUAAGCACCAAUCCCCGGCAACGGCGCAAAAAACUUGUUGUCGAUUUUCUAAUGCUAUUAGUGUCAAUGUGAAAAUGUACACAACAAGUAAUAUAACGAUAAGUAUUCACUCCACAAGGAUUAUUAUUAUAGGAAUUGCUACAGUAAUUCUAUCAGUGCCAUUCUUAUUAUAAAUUAGAAUUUAAACAAAUUAUUCAACUAAUGAACUAAGGCAGAUCUUAUUGGGCUAGUCGGCAAUGUGUUGCUUUAGGUCGUGUGGAAUAGUUGCGGGAGUGAUCUUGCAUGAUGUGUGGAGCUAUAACAGUGCUGAGCAUGGGCCAAUCUAUGGGCUCAUGGAACUAGCGAACCUAAUCUAGAAUUUCGAGGAAGAGUACUCUGGUUAGUACUCUAAAUUACCUUAUUAUAUUUUGCACAAACAGAGGCAUGUUAGUGAAAUAAUAUCUAAGCAACCCAAGAGGGGGGUGAAUUGGGUUUCUAAAAAUUAUGCAAUUCUUAAACAAAACUUAAUGCAAAUCUUAAACGAAUUUAAAGCAAUAAUACAUAAAUCAACCAAGGUAUAAAAAGAUAAGGGAAGAGAGAUUAAAACACAGAGAGUUUUACGUGGUUCGGCCAACCUUGCCUACAUCCACACCCCCAAGCACACCGAGCUUGGGCAUUCCACUAGUCAAGCCUUCAAGGCUUCAAGAACACUUACAAUUGACUUCUUAGGUGUCAAUCAACCUUUACAUCUAGAGAUUAUCCCCAAUCUCUUAACCCAAGUGUAUCCCAAUAUUUACAAUCACUCAAAAUAAAGAUUACAAAUUUAUUUUUCUCUCACACAAUUUUUUAAGAUUACAAAUCAACGCUUAAUGUGUGAAUAAAUGAACAAGAAUGAAUUUGAAGCUCAAUGAAUGUUGUAUUCUCGAUUAUAAGCUCAAUGAUAACGUUGUGAUAAGCUCUUGUUUGAAUUUGAUUGAUCUUAUUUAUAGUUGGAGUUGAAAAAUAGCCAUUGUUGACUUUUUCCCGAAAUUGGAUCGCCGUUAACCGUUAUCGGUUAACCGUUUUGACUGGUCCAAGUGACCGUUGAGCUGAAUUUCAAAUAAACGGUUGAUCUUUUGACACUAUCGGUUUGCUGUUAAUUUCCAUAAACCUGUAAAACAAAUUUAUGCUAUUCGUUCUUGCUAAACGGUUGAAGGUCAGCAUGGAAUGACAUUCUAGAAAUUAUUGGUUGGCCGUUUGAAGUUCACGGUUCACCGUUUACUUCUAGAAUCACAGUUUUAACCAAAUUUCGCAGGGAAUGCUUUUUCGGUUAAAGUUAACGAUUAUCCAUAUUUCAUGAACACAUUUAGAAAAAUCAUACGACUUUUGAGAAAUUGUUUAGUAAUGAAAACUCUAACAUUUUAAUCAAAUACAUUUAAAGUUUGUUAUCAUCAAAAUCAAUAUAAUGAACAUCUACAUGUUAACAGUUAGGCCUUGAUUAUUUUUUAAAUCUUAUAAGAUAUAGAGUGAUAAUAGUAACUCAAUUUUCAUAAAACGUGGAAAGAUCAGUCGCCAAAUUUAUAGAUGCCAUAGAAAAUCUAGAUUUUAGUAAGGAAUAUCAAGUUAUUUAUACAAUGAAAAUUGUUAAAACUCGAUUAAUUGCAAGGAAACACUUUUAGAGAGAUAUGGAGAGAAUAAACUUUGAAGAUAACAAUGAAAUACAUGACACAUUUAAGGAAGAAAAUAUAAUAGUAUUAAUAGAAUCUAUUUUAACCAGUCUUAAGAUAAUUCAAGAUUGAUGCAAAAUAAAUAACAGGACUCUAAACCGUCCAUAAUAAGUCUAUUGAUUAAUAAUAAUAAUAAUAGUGAUGUGAAAUUUUUUAUUCAGAAUGCUCAAUUUAGAUUAUAAUAUCUAUGUGAAAGCAUUGAUGGCAUGUACCUUGGUUAGGAAAAUAGAUUGGACACAUGGAUAUAUAUGUUGGAAGAACAAAUCUAGUUUAUAUCUCAAGAGAGAUAAUAAAUUAUAAAUGCCGGUGCUAUAGUAUAUUCAGAUUUUAUAAAUCUUUAUAAAUUUAAUAAUCAUUUAGAUCUUCAUAAAAUUAUAAUAAAACUUUAAAAAACUUUAAAAAUAUAUGUAGAAGAGAUGGAAGAAGAAAUCAUCCAGUUAUUCAAAAUCAAUUAAACAGAAAUAGAAGGUAAAAUCCUUGAAUUAUAUAAAUUAUACAAUUUCACAGAAAUUUUGCAUAUAUUGCAAAACGGUCCUUGUGGCACUAAUUAUGGGACUAGUGUAGCAUAAAUACUAAUAUUGCUUUUUAUUUUGUAAAUUAAUUGUUGCGUCAUAAUGUUUUUACAUACACAUUUUAUGUUUUAAAAUAUGAAUUUUUUUUUUUUGUAUUUAGGGAUAAUUUUACAAUUUCAUACUUUGUUCAAUUAUAUAUACAGGUCCUUAACGUGUUGGUUGAUGUUGAAUAUUCAAAGAUCCACAAGCUAUCAACGACAACGAAUCAAAUUAAACUAAUUAGUUAAUACAUAAUGACUGGGUUGUUUCCUAUGUUGUUAAUGAUGUAGGACGUUAUUUUAGGAUUUUAGAAUUGUAAUUUUUAGGUCUUCUGAUAUUUUCUUUUUUAAUUAAAGUUAGUGUCUUAGUUUUUUAUUUAUUUAUGUUAUAAUUAUAAUUUACUUUCUCUUUUUAAGUUAACUUAGGAAAAUAUAUUUACUGUAUUAUAAAUAAAGAGAUCUUGUUAUUACUUUAUAACUUCAACUUCAGUUAUUCAAUUAAAAACCCCUCUUUUAUAAUUUCAUUUUGUAUUAUUUAUUAAAAACCCCUCUUUUAAAGUUGUUUGAUUAGAGCAUCAUCCAGCCUUGCUUAACGCAGUAUUAAAAAUCCAUUUGAGUUUAAUCACACUUCGAUUAGAGCGUAACUUAAUUGCAUUGACUUGGUCCAGUACUUGAACGAUAUCUAGUGUUUUGCUUCCGCUAUGCCAAGGAGAAAAUUAAUUUCACCGUGAGAUAAGAGCAUUAAAAGGAAUUCAUAAGAAAUUUAAAUUAAAGCUAUAUAUGUUAAAUAUAUCGCUAGCUACUUGUUUUUGGAGGAAUUAAAACAAUUAAUAAGCUGCGAAGUGAAAAUGAAUAAAUAAAUGAAAUGAGGUUGAAAAUAAGUCUCGCCGCCUGGAUCCAAGGCCAAAACAUUCAUGAUAAGUUAGGUAAUUAAGUACAUGUUUUCAAGCUCUUCAUGAAGAAUAACGUUAUUGAAAUAAAUCACAAAGACUCCCUGCGCAAAUUAUUACAUUGAUUAAAAAAAAAAAGCCAUAUCUUUAACAGGAUCGUGACUCUCGGACUGUUAAUUACUUUAUUCCCUGCUUGGCCAACAGCUGGCCACUAAACAAAAUCAUAAAAAUUUUAAAUUUAGUCAAAUUGGUCCCACUUGAUGACAUCCUUUCCAUACAUAAAAUUGUUUAACGUCAAGGUUAAAUAUGAGAAGUUUGGUAGAGAAGGUAAAAAGGAAGUCUAUAUAAGGAGGGGAACGAGCUUUGUUUAUAGCACAAGUGAAACUCCACUUUAUUGAACGAUGGGGUCUCAAAUGGGCUGCCUCUUUGCCACUCUUUUGGUAGUAUCAGUCUCUCUUAGCUACUUGCCGUUAGAAGCCUCCGCAAACAAAUACUACUACACAUCUCCUCCCCCUCCCAAAUACAAGUCUCCACCACCACCCCCGCCACCGGUUCACAAUUCUCCACCACCACCCCCGGUUUACCUGCCCCCGCCACCUCCUCCACCAGUCUACGUGCCUGCUCCGGCACCAACUCCAAUUUUCCCUUCUCCGCCACCUCCUGUCCCCAAGUCCCCACCACCACCUCACCCUUACAUCUAUGCAUCUCCCCCUCCUCCUUACUACUACUAGAAAGUGGCCAUGAAUAGCUCAUGCUUUUAUGGUAAUCUCAUUUAUUUUUAAAACUGUACAUGUAAAGACUAGUAGUUCAGAAUUACAUUAAGCAUUUCAAUUUUAAGCACCGUGUUCUGUUUAAUUGCGUUCCUAUUGAUUAAGUGACAAAUAAAAGAGAUUGAUUAAUUUGUUCUUGUAGGAGAGGCGAAUGGUUUCCGAAUAAAGAAAGCAAGGGUUUGAUGGAAGGCUUACUUGGAGCAAGAGAGCGAUCAAUCGAGUUGCUGCGUUUUAUUCUCUUUUAUCUUUGUUUUUUAAGAAAAAUAAACUGCCACACGUAGAAACAGAAAAUUAAGUUCUUGUCAUUUUCAUGCAUAUGGAUUGUUGCUGUGUGUGUCAAUCAAAUCUCCGUUGUGUCAUUUGUAAUUUUCAACCUUUAUGCAUGCAAAUGCGAGACCUCUUACGUAUAAUAAAAUUAAUAUACUUCCAAAGAUGGUCUUAUCUUGCGUUGACUUUUUACGUUCCUUUGGUGAUGAUUUUGACGUUUGAAAUUGAUGACUAUUGUUUUUGUAAACUCUGACAUGGAUUUUUCGUGCAACUACAGAGCGCAUUAACGAGAGACUUAUCCAUGAGGGUCCAUGCAGAUCAGUGUCUAAUUAACCAAUAAUUAAUAUAACUUAAAAAAUAUAGAGUUAAUAAUUUUUAUGGGUCAUGCUCAAUUGCAGAUGUUCGUACAAAAUUUCUUGCUAAUGUAUACUUGAGUAUGAUAAUAAGUUUUAAUCAUUAUUAAUAAUUCACUUGAUAAUAUUAAACAAAUUUUCAUAUCAAUUAAGUUACAAAAUUUCUGUGACAAAUUUCCACGUACUGGAACCAUGCAAAAGGGCUUUAUUCAAGCAAAGCUGCAUAGCCGUUGGCAAUUAAAAUUAUUUAUCAAUUAAGUUAAGUAGUAAGAAUUGGAUUGUGGAUUCCAUUAAUUAUUUCAAGGAAAAUUUUAUAGAUAAUGCCGUAAUGAAAUUUACGGCAUCAAUAUCACGAUAAAUAUAAAUAUUGUAAAUUACAAAUAGAAUUAGUAAAUGUAAAGUAAAACCAGUAAAUUCAUAAAAGAUUAUUAAUUAUUUAAAAAAUUAACAUUGUGUUAUGUUUGCAAGUUUUUGUUUUGUUUACUAGUUUUAUGUUAUGUUUGCAAGUUUUUGUUUUGUUUACUAGUAAUAGAUUAAUGGGUAAUUUUUAAUUGAGUCCUCAUUAGUUCUAGAAAAACAAUUCAGAGACCAGAAGUUUACUAAAUGAAUCAAUUAAAUUCUUUCAAGUACAAACUAAUGUCAUUCAAGUCCUUAACUUAAUUGGUCAGUUAAAAAUAUUAACAACGUCGAGGACAUUUUAGUAAAACAACAAUUGAGUCGUUUCUCAUUCUUUAUUUUUGACAGGUGGAAAUAGUUUAAAGUAAACUCACUUAACCUGAUUAAGUUAAGGAUCAGUUCUUUCAAAUGAAAAAAAAAAAAAAAAAAAACCUACAGAAACUGCCAUAUUCUUCGUGUGGGAGGAGAGAUCGAGAGAACGUGGGAUGGUGCAAAAAAUGUUGUAUAAAUCUACUGUGAUUUUGACCAAAGCUUUGGUAGCAUUGAUUGAGUUCAAGUACUGGAGAGAACCUGAGUUUAAAGGUUAGUAACUCUAUUUUUUUAGUGAUUUCUGCAAGCAUUUUCUGAUAAAAAAUUUUCCGUAUUGAGUGAUCGUUGUGAAAAAUUAAGUUUUUCAAGUCUAUUUUACAAAAUGACAAACUAUGUUUAAUUAUUGGUGGAUUCUUUUUUUUGUUCAAUGUUGUAUUUUGUUAAUUUGUUGUUUUUAAUUUGCUCUUAAUGUAAUUGUUAGACCAAAUACACCAUUAUUAUACCUGUAUUCAUUUCAACAAUUUGGUAUCGUUAUAUUAAUAAGAUUGAAUUCAUUGUAUUUGCUUCUUUGUUCAUGUAAAAUUGAAUUCUAUGUAUUCUUAUGAGUGAUAAUUUUUCUAUCUAUUAGACUAAAUUCACUAUAUUCACGACUUUCUUUCUUUUUGCUGGGCUAUUUUUUCUUUUUAGUUUAUAUUUUUUAUAUGUAUUAGAUUGAAUUUGCUUUUGUACGUUUUUUUAGCCGAAUUACAUGUAUAUUUUAUUUAGGUUGAGUUUUUUUGUUGUUUGCUAAAUAAAAUUCUAUUGGUUUAUCAUUUUUUGAUGCAAUACUUUUUGUUUAAAAUUAAUGCAGGUAGCCAUGUUACCUUUUUUUCGGUUAAAAUUAAUUGGGUGAUGUAUGCGAUAUAGGGAACCAGAGGAAUAUAAGAUUAUUAGGUUGUUUCUUGAAAUUCAAGAUGUCAUGGUUGAGCAUGGACACAGUGAAAUGGAUUUGAUUGAAAUUUCUGUUGUAUUGCCAUGGACUACAAGUAGGCAGAGGAAGCUAAUUUCAAACGAUAGUGAAUUGUAUUGGGUUUUCGAGGAGUUUUUUUUUUUUUUUUAUCAAUAGUUGUCCUGUCAUUGAGUUUGAGGUGCACAUUGGGUCAGGUGGUCAGUCAUUUCAUGAAAGUGUUGUAAUAGGACCUGAAAAUCCUGUCAAUAUAGGUGUUAGUGUUAUAAUAGUGAUAAGUUUGAAAAUCCUGUGGCUAAAAAGGGUAUGCCUAGAAUAAUUGGUACUUCUUUAUUUGCCUCAAAGUUCAACACUAUGAAAUCCACCAAGAAAAAGAAUUUAUCCACUUUAACCAGCAAUCUUCAAUCUUGCCUUCAGGAUAAGCAUGAGAUCUGUCAGCACAUUGCAAUGACACUGUGGUUGGUCUGACUUCUCCAACUUCCAAUUGCUUGAAUUCUGAUAAUGUCAUAAGAUUGAUGGCUUGCUCUCAAAUCACAAAGUGUCUUGCCACUGUAUUUAGUUCCUAUGGAACAAGGAAUUGUGAAACUUCCUGGAUCCUUCAACUUCUGAGGCAUUUUACUCUGAAGCAUAUGGCUGCAUUCUUGUGUUAGAGCAACUAUUUCGAAUUCUCCAAGCCUCCACUACUAGAAAAACAGGCUACUAUGACAGAAUUUUUGUGAUAGAUAUCAGAAAAUUAGUCAUUUAUCACAAAAAUAUAACAUACAUGUGAUAGAAUUUUCAUAUAUCAACAAGGCAUGAUAGAUUUGUGAUAGUUUCUUUAUCUGUCACUUGUACAUGAUAGCAUAUUAAUAUAGUAAUGAAACGGUGAGUUUAAGAUUGGCCAAUUUGGGCAUUGAACGACACCGUGUCUUGAAGCCUUUAAAAAAAAUUCUAAGUGUUGGACACUCCUUUGAACUUCACAUAGAAAACCCUAAUUUCUACAUCCAAACUGAAUCACACAAAAAUACACCAUCACACUUGCCGCCAAUAAAUUGUUGUUGUUCGUCUUUGUCGUCAUCUUCAUCCCCACUCCACAGCUUGCUGGCUAUUCCCAUUUCCCUUUUAUAGCUUGAACAACUGAUCUUCUUCAAGUUCGAGCCACUGUUACUGACUUCUUUCGGGAGAGGUAAGUGAUUAAUUCUUUUUUUUUUUUGAAGAGACAACAAUCACCAUAAAUUUCUCAAAAUCCCUAAAAUUAUGCCAAAAAAAGGAAAAAAUAAAGCCGUUCCAUGGCCUUAAAGGACUGACUUCGAGUUCGUGGACUAACGUGCCAACGACUCCGCUUUAUGGCCUUCGUGGAACGAUUCCGUGACACGCGAGUGGCAGCGUGCUAUUUACGUGGAGUCGGAUCGGAGAAGAUUGUACUACGAGGAGUUGGCGAUGUGAGAAAGACAGCGAGUUAGCUACUACGUCUUCGACUUAGGGUAAAAUUUUGGCAGAAUUUGAACUGAAAUUUAGUGGGUUUUGAGUGGUAAGACGAGGUUUUGAGAGAGGAAAAGGAGUGUUUGGCUGGCGAGAAAGUGAGAGAAAGUUUUUGAGUGUGGAGUGAUGGCUUCUCUGUUUUUACUUCUUUAUUGUUCUUUAUUGAGUAGAUGGUGACGAUACAAACUUUUAACAUUGUUUACUUAAUUAAUUGGAUAACAAUCUUACAUGACUAUUUUGAUUUAUCAGAUAAAUCAGUUAGAGAAGAAUGGAGAUGUUGUUGCUCAGGCACGAGCAAUUACAGCAAUCUAGACACUCUGCCCCGUCUUUCUUUCAAUGUUGUUGGCACACUGAAUAAUUUCCUUAGUGACAAGUUAACCAAAUUUAGAGGUAUAUGUGAUUUUGAUUUGACUUACUCUUAAUGAAAUACAAUAAGGAUUUUUUCUGUUGUUUCUAGGCCUUUUGGAGAGUUCGGAUUGAAGCAACGUUUGCCUUAGCUAAUACAACAUCUAAGGUAUUGUUAUUAUUCUCACCUUUAUUUAUUAAAUAUAUUGAGCACAUGGUAGGUCCACCAAAAUGUAUGCAAAAUCUAUUCACCAGAGGUAUUCGCAUAAAGUGAAUUUUUGUGAGAGACUAUUCUUCAACUGUGAAAACUACUUUGGUAGUUCUCAAACCCAUUACAAUUGAUUGGUGCUUGUGUUUUUCUAUUAGAAAGAUAUCUUCUGUAAAAUCUUUGUGAACUACAUUUUUGGAAAUGCAAAUGCUUUGUGUGGUGGUGAUUGUGCUUAUUUGCUUGGUCUUCUAGCAUUUCAGUGAAAUGAUUUAUUUUGACUUGUGCUUAUGACUAACUUGUUGACAGAGAAACUAGGCCAUUUAUGGAUGCACUGAUAUGAAUCCUAUAAUUUUUCUCUUAAUUGACAUGUUGAACUUUUUGGAAGAUAUUUUUUUUUUAUUUGAUUUGUCACAUAUUGUGCUUUAUUAGUUGGAAAUGUUUUGGUUUGUGGACCAUGUUGCACUUACCAGUUCUCAAUAUUGAUAUAUGAUAUAUACACACUAUUGUACUGGAAAUUGAUUGAGUUGGUUUGCUCCAUCUGGUGAAAUUUUAUAAAAGUCGAAGGUUUGAUGAGAAUAUUGGACUCCCCAAGUGAGAAUCUAUCUAAGUUUGAAAUUGUUCUGAUAUCGUUGCUGCAGCACUUUGUUAACGUUUUUGUUUUCUGCUGAUCAUUCCAGGCCAAAUGAUAUCCGUGAUUUUUCAGAGUAUUUGUUCUUGAGGUAAUGCCUUGAGGUAAGGUAUGUAAUGAGUUGUGUGAAGUGGGAUGUGAUAAUAAUUUUGCCCUCGCUUCAUGUGAUGAAAUCCCACAUAAUUUGCCCUUGCUUUAUGUGAUGAAAUCUUUGGGUGGUUUGUUUAUUUAGUGUUUUUCUAUUUCUUUUUAUAUGCUAAUUUUCAUAGUUCUAGAGCAAGUCUUUCUCUAGUCAUUUUGAAAUACUUCCACAUGCUGCUUCUUAAGCCAAGAUUGUCUUGCCCUAAUGAACAAGUUAAAUGGAUUUGCGUUGCUUGGAGUCUCAGUGUAAUAUAUGUGUUUUAGAACUUAGAUUGAUAAACAAAUUUGAACAAAUACAGUGGAAUAAGAAUAAAGAGAAGAUUAAAAAAAAAAGAGUAGAAAUAAAGAAAAGGAUGGUGAAACUUUAGGAGAAUAGGGGAAUCAAGAGAAGAGGAUAGAAUUUUGAUGGAUUUUAUUUAAUUAUGUAACGGAGGUUUUGUGUUGUUAGAUGUUGUGCGUUAAUUAAUUUGUAAUCUUGGAAAAAUACUUUAUCAUGAAUUGGGUUAAUUGUAAGUGGUCAAUACACUAAUAUAUAUUCUUCUAGCACUCAUCUAAAUGUAAUAUGUGUUUCAGGUGAUGUUGGUGGCUCUUGGGAAUUUACUAUCAGUGUUCUUUUUACGAAUUAAUUGUUUUUCUAAUGAUGGGGUAGUGAUUGAAUAUUGUAGAGAAUUUAUGAGUUAUUCUUACGGAUUUGAUUCACCAUGUAUUUUGAUGAUACUAUUUGUUGGAAGUUUCAAGUAAUUGAAAUUUUUAGUAUAUGGUGAUAUUUGGUAUUUGAUAGUUUUUAUGAAUUUGAAUGUAAUUUUUAUUUCAGUUAAUUCAAAUUUUAAAAUGUGGGUUUUGUUAUUUCUAUUUCAAAAUUCUGGAAUUUAAAUAAUAUUAAUUAGUAUUAUUAUAAUUUCAAAAUUAAAAAUAAUAAUUUUAUUUUUUUAAACCUUAAAUCUCAUGACAGAGAAUGUGAAUCAUUAAUAUAUGAAAGAUUUUGAAAAAGCCCACCAAAUUCAAUAUAAUUUAAAUUACCUGCUAAAAUUUCCAAUUAAUUCUCAAAAGCCUUGCAAAACGACGUCGCUUGGUUCGUGACAUAUGCGUGAUAGAUAUACACUGUCACAGAAACAUGUGAUAGAUAAAAUGUUGUCAUAGAUUUAUGAAAGGGGCUACAAUGACAGAUGGAAACUCUGUCAUAAGAGGGGUCGGAUGACAGAUAUUCUCUGUCAUGAUAGCCCAUUUUUCUAGUAGUGCUCAUUUUCCUUGCCAAUAUACAUUUCCAAAACUUUACAUAAUUUGGCAUUUGUUCCAAUGCUUCCACAAAAGGAAUGUUGAUAUGCAGUUGUUUCAAUACUUCCACCACCUGUCCCCAAGUUCCCACCACCACCUCACCCUUGCGUCUAUGCAUCUCCCCCUCCUCCUUACUACUACUAGAAAGCGGCCAUGAAUAGCUCAUGCUUUUAUGGUAAUCUCAUUUAUUUUUAAAACUGUACAUGUAAAGACUAGUAGUUCAGAAUUACAUUAAGCAUCAAAUUUAAGCACCGUGUUCUAUUUAAUUGCGUUCCUAUUGAUUAAGUGACAAAUAAAAGAGAUUGAUUAAUUUGUUCUUGUAGGAGAGGCGAAUGGUAUCCGAAUAAAGAAAGCAAGGGUUUGAUGGAAGGCUUACUUGGAGCAAGAUAGCGAUCAAUCGAGUUGCUGCGUUUUAUUCUCUUUUAUCUUUGUUUUUUAAGAAAAAUAAACUGCCACACGUAGAAACAGAAAAGUUCUUGUCAUUUUCAUGCAUAUGGAUUGUUGCUGUGUGUUUCAAUCAAUUCUCUGGCGUGUCAUUUGUAAUUUUCAACCUUCAUGCAUGCAAAUGCGAGACCUCUUUCGUAUAAUAAAAUUAGGGGAUUGUCACUUUCCCCCUACAGUAAUUAACAUAUAUUAUUUAUUCUCUUACUAUUUUUAUAAUGGCCAAAAACCCACUGACAACAUAAGUUUACAAUAUUACCUUUAUUUUUAACUACUCUUUUAUUUACAUUUAUUAUAAAUUAAAUAAAUUACAUGAAUAGAAACUAAAUAAAAAAAUUAAGUAUUAAAAAUAAGAAAUAUAUGUUGAUAUGAGGAAAAAAAUUAAUAAUAAAAUUUUUUUCUUGUAAUUAUUUAUUUUGUGAACAUUUUCUUAUAACAUUUUGUAAUAUUUUAAAAUUAAAUGUAAAAAGUAUAGGCAAAAUAUUUUAUUAUUUAUCUUAUAAUAAAUUGUUAUUUGUCAUUCAAAUUUUCUUAUAAUAAUUUUUUUUAUCAUUUUAUAAUAACUUUCUUAUAUAUUUAUUAUAAGAAAAUUUUCACAAAAUAAAUAAGUACAAGAAAAAAAAUUUAUUAUUAAUUUUUUUCUCAUAUCAAAACAUAUAAUAAUUUUUUUCUCAUAUCAAAACAUAUAUUUCUUGUUUUUAAUUCCUAAUUUUUUAUUUGAUUUCUAUUCAUGUGAUUUAUUUAAUUUGUAAUAAAUAUAAAUAAAAGAGUAAUUGAAAAUAAAGGUAAUGUUGUACACUUAUGCUAUCAGGGGAAGUUUUGGCCAUUAUAAAAAUAGUAUGGGAAAAAUAGUAUAUGUUGAUUACUAUAGGAGGGAAAUUAGCAAUCUCCCAAUAAAAUUAAUAUACUUCCCAAGACCGUCUUAUCUUGCGUUGACUUUUUACGUUCCUUUGGUGAUGAUUUUGACGUUUGAAAUUGAUGACUAUUGUUUUUGUAAACUCUGCAUGGAUUUUUCGUGCAACUACAGAGCGCAUUAACGAGAGACUUAUUCAUGAGGGUCCAUGCAGAUCAGUGUCUAAUUAACGAAUAAUUAAUAUAACUUAAAAAAUAUAUAGUUAACAAUUUUUAUGGGUCAUGCUCAAUUGCAGAUGUUCGUACAAAAUUUCUUGCUAAUGUAUACUUGAGUAUGAUAAUAAGUUUUAAUCAUUAUUAAUAAUUCACUUGAUAAUAUUAAACAAAUUUUCAUAUCAAUUAAGUUACAAAAUUUCUAUGACAAAUUUCCACGUACUGGAACCAUGCAAAAGGGCUUUAUUCAAACAAAGCUGCAUAGCCGUUGGCAAUUAAAAUAAUUUAUCAAUUAAGUUAAGUAGUAAGAAUUUUAUUGUGGAUUCGAUUAAUUAUUUCAAGGAAAAUUCUAUCGAUAAUGCCGUAACGAAAAUUACACAUAAAAUUAGUAAAUGUAAAGUAAAACCAGUAAAUUCAUAAAAAAUUAUUAAUUAUUUAAAAAAUUAAUAUUGUUUUUACAUAAUUUUAGUGCAAAAUAUUUUAUUUAGUUACAAAAAAAAUUUCUUUAAUUAAACAAAAAAAUUAUACAGAAAAAAAGUGGAAUACGUUUUAUUGAAUUGGUUACCAUAAAUUCUGUAAUUAUUCUAGGACAUUUGUAUACAUUUUUUUCUCAUUUUCUAUAAUGACAUCUAUUUAUUACACAUGUUAAUUAAGCGCAAUUAUUUAUCUUGAUGUGGAUCAAGUAAAAAUAAAAGAAAAGAUAUAUCAAUCAAAUUAGAUAUAAUUUUGAAUACUAUGUAUACUUUAUGUAGUUUCAAACUUUUUACUUGUAUUUGGAGACCAUUUAAGAUUGUUGUUGAAGAAGUGUAGAAAGAUGUAAAAUAACGUCAUCUUACAACAAUUAUAAUGAUAUCUAUUUAUUACACAUGUUAAUUAAGCACAAUUAUUUAUCUUGAUGUGGAUCAAGUAAAAAUAAAAGAAAAGAUAUAUCAAUAAAAUUAGAUCUAAUUUUGAAUAGGGAGAUUGCCAAUUUUCCCCCUACAGUAAUCAACAUAUACCAUUUUCCCCCCUACUGUUUUUAUAAUGGCCAAAAACCCCCCUGAUAGCAUAAGUGUAUAUUAUUACUCUUAUUUUCAACUACUCUUUUAUUUAUAUUUGUUAUAAAUUAAAUAAAUCACAUGAAUAGAAACCAAAUAAAAAAUUAAGCAUUAAAAACAAGAAAUAUAUGUUUUGAUAUGAGAAAAAAAUUAAUAAUAAUUUUUUUCUUGUACUUAUUUAUUUUGUGAAAAUUUUCUUAUAAUAAAUAUAUAAGAAAGUUAUUAUAAAACGAUAAAACCAAUUAUUAUAAGAAAAUUUGAAUGACAAAUAAAAAUUUAUUAUAAUAUAAAUAAUAAAAUAUUUUGUCUAUACUUUUUACAUUUAAUUUUAAAAUAUUACAAAAUGUUUAUUAUAAGAAAAUGUUCACAAAAUAAAUAAUUACAAGAAAAAAAUUUUAUUAUUAAUUUUUUUUGCUCAUAUCAAAUCAUAUAGUUCUUAUUUUUAAUACUUAAUUUUUUUAUUUAUUUUCUAUUCAUGUAAUUUAUUUAAUUUAUAAUAAAUAUAAAUAAAAGAGUAGUUAAAAAUAAGGGUAAUAUUGUAAACUUACACUGUCAGGGGGUUUUUGGCCAUUAGAAAACAACAAGGGGGUAAAUGGUAUAUGUUAAUUACUGUAGAGGGGAAAGUGACAAUCCCCCUUUUGAAUAUUAUGUAUACCUUAUGUAGUUUCAAACUUUUUACUUGUAUUUGGAGACCAUUUAAAGUUGUUGUUGAAGAAGUGUAGAAAGAUGAAAAAUAACUUCAUCUUACAACAACUGUGAAAGAUAUUAAAAUAAUAUUUUUUCAAAAUCCAAUUUUUAGCAUAAAUUUCAUCCUUAAUUAAACAUCACAUGUAUUAUAUAAAUGAAAAACUAACAUUAUUCAAUUUAAAUUAAAAAAUAAUAAAUAUAUGAGGUAAUAAAUAUUAUAACGAGUUUUUAUUUUAAAAUUGUAAACUUUUGUUUCUGACAGUAACUCUUAUAUUAAUUUACUUAUUUUGCCUUUUAUUCAUAAGUUUUAUGCAUAAUCUACAAACUUUAUGUUUUAUUUUGCAUUUAAUGUUGAUUUACCUUUUUUAUAUUAUAUUUAUAAGUUUUCAUUUGAUUUACCAGUAAUACAUCAAUUUAUCAAUUUUAUAGUAAUUUACUUAUUUUACCUUCUUUUUACAAUUCUUAUGUUUCAUUUUCAAAAUUUAUGUUUUAUUUUACAGUUAUUGAUGAUUUACUAGUUUUAUAUUAUGUUUGCAAGUUUUUGUUUUAUUUACUAGUAAUAAAUUAAUGGGUAAUUUUUAAUUUAGUCCUCAUGUUUUCGAGAAAAAAAUUCAGAGACUAGAAAUUUACUAAAUGAAUCAAUUAAAUUAUUUCAAGCACAAACUAAUGUCAAUCAAGUCCUUAACUUAAUUGCUUAGUUAAAAAUAUUAACAACAUUGAGGAUAUUUUAGUAAAACAACAAUUGAGCCCUUCCUCAUUCUUUAUUUUUGACAUGUGGCAAUAGUUUAAAGUAAAUUCAAUUAACCUAAUUAAGUUAAGGAUCAGUUCUUGCAAACGAAAAAAAAAAAAAAACCUACAAAAACUGCCAUAAUCUUCGUGUGAGAGGAGAGAUCGAGAGAAUGUGGGAUGGUGCCAAAAAUGUUGUAUAAAUCUACUAUGAUUUUGACCAAAGCUUUGUUAGCAUUUGUUGAGUUCAAGUACUGGAGAGAACCUAAUUAUAAAGGUCAGUAACUCUAUUUUUUUAGUGAUUUUUGCAAGCGUUUUUUGAUAAAAUUGUUUCCAUAUUUAGUGAUCGUUGUGAAAAAUUAGGUUUUUCAAGUCUAUUUUUCUAAAUGACAAACUAUGUUUAAUUACUGGUGGUUUUUUUUUUAUUGAAUGUGGUAUUUUGUUAAUACAUUGUUUUUAAUUUGCUCUUCAUGUAAUUAUUAGACCAAAUACGCCAUAAUUAUAUUUGUAUUCAUUUCAACCAAUUGGUAUUGUUAUAUUAAUAAGAUUGAAUUCAUUGUAUUUGCUUCUUUGUUCAUGCAAAAAUUGAAUUCUAUGUGUUCUUAUGAGUGGUAAUUUUUCUAUAUAUUAGAAUAAAUUCACAAUAGUUGCUAAUUUCUUUCUUUUUGCUGGGUUAUUUUUUCUUUUUAGUUUUUAUUUUUUAUAUGUAUUAGAUUGAAUUUGCUUUUGUACUUUUUUUAGCCGAAUUACAUGUAUAUUUCAUUUAGGUUAAGUUUUUUUGUUCUUUGCUAAAUAAAAUUGUAUUGGUUUAUCCUUUUUUGUUGCAAUACUUUUUGUUUUAAAUUGAUGCAAGUAGCCAUGUUACCUUUUGUUUUUCAGUUAAAAUUAAUGGGGUGGUGUAUGAGAUAGGAUAUAGAGAACCAGAGGAAUAUAAGAUUAUUAGGUUGUUUCAUGAAAUUCAAGAAUUCAUGGUUAAGCAUGGACAUAAUGAAAUGGAUAUGAUUGAAAUUUCUAUUGUAUUGCCAUGGACUACAAGUAGGCAGAAAAAGCUAAUUUCAAACGAUAGUGAAUUGUAUUGGGUUUUUUAGGAGUUUUUUUUUUUAUCAAUAGUUGUCAUGUCAUUGAGUUUGAGGUGCACACUGGGUCAGGUGGUCAGUCAUGUCAUGAAAAUGUUGUAAUAGGAUCUGAAAAUCUUAUCAAUAUAGCGGUUGGGUGGGUAGUGAUAAGUUUGAAAAAUUUAGUGAGGAUGGCUUUAUCGGAGGGCUCUCAUCUAAUGAAGAGAAUGGUCUCUCACAUAUGUAUAAAUCCAUUGUUGAUAAUGAGUAGAAACCAAAUCCAAAUAGUUUAAUUAGUCUAAAAGUAGGAAAUACAUUUGAAUCUGUUGCAUUAUUAAGAGAGGUUAUAAUGAAGUAUGCAAUCGAAGAGGGUUUUUAGUUGAAUAGGAUUAAAAAUGAUGGUGUUAGGUAUUAUGUCAAUCUAAAAUGCACUUGGAAACUUAAUGCUUCAUCGAUGGUUGACGGGAUAACUUUUAAAAUUAGGUAUAUUAAAGGGAAACAUGAUUGUCAGAUUAAAUAAGUUAACAAAGAUGCAACAGCACAUUGGAUGAUGUACAUGUCAUAAUGAGAGAGCUAAAAGAUAAACAUAGGAUUGAAUGUGAUAAACAAGAACUAUGCAGGGCAAAAGAAAUUGCACUAAAAAACCUAGGUCUUGACCAUGUUGCUUGCUAUGGAAAGCUUUUGAAAUAUGCUCACAUUCUAAUGAAAAUGAGUAGAGGUGCUUGUGUCAAGCUAAAGUUGAUAGGCCAUUGUCAAAUAGCCUAGUUUUUCAAAGGUUUUUUUAUCAUUUCCCGCACUUAAAGUGGGGUACCUAACUGGGUGUAGACCUUUCAUAAGAUUGGAUGGGUGUCACUUGAAUGGGCCAUAUAGGGGAGUAUUGUUAUCUGUUGUUGCAUUAGAUGCUGACAGUAGAAUUUUGCCACUGGCUUUUUGCAUAUGUGAGGCAGAAAACUAUGAUAGUUGGGGUUAUUUUUUUUAUCUUUUUUGUAUGAAUUCAUUGGGGCCGAUGAUCAUAGACCUGUGACUAUUAUUAGUUAUAGACAAAAAGGUCUUUUAUGGCGACUAAAAAAAUAUUAGCCUAAUGCUAGCACUAGAUAUUGUGCUAGGCAUAUCUUUGCCAAUUGGAAGUGCAGGUUUCCUGGUUUGAAUGUGAUGGGGUUAUUCUGGAAAGCUUGUAGGGCUGCAAAUCAAUAUGACUUUGAGAGGGCAAUGAGUUAAAUUAGGGCUAAAGACCAAAAUUGUUGUUGCUUAAAGAUUGUGGGAAUAUGAGAUAUUUCCUUGGAAACCAGCAUUGGCUCUAAGUUAUUGCUUAAAGAUGUCAAACAUGUACCAUAUAUUCUUCUUAAUUUGAUCUCUACAGGCAAGCUUGAUGAUGAUGGUUAUACCAACUAAUUUGGUGAAGGAGUAUGUAAGCUCACCAAAGGCUCCUUAGUGUUAGUUAAAGAGAGGAAAGUAAACACCCUCUAUGUGUGAUAACUCUAUGAAACGAGAGUUAUUAUAGAAAUUCUAAACUUAAAUCAAUAUUACUUACAGAGUAAAUGAUGUGUUUCUAUUGUAUUUUUGUUACAUUGUGUAUAAACAUUCAUUUUAGUUUAGUCUUAAUAAAUUUUGCUUAAUUUAGAAUAAUUCGUGCUUAAAUUGUGUGCAUAAUUAUAGGUGUCUAGAAGCUCAUAUCUCAUGGAAGGAGUGUUGAUGCAAUAGGCUUGUAAAAAUGAGGAAGAACAUGGCUACAAAAGAAUUGAAACAAAUCUGGAAUAAUGUAGUGUUGUAGCCGUUCUUGUAGCAACCAUUGCUGUAGCAAUCCUGGAACAACGAUAGAGAAAAUUUAGCACGAGAUACUUGUAGAAUCAAGAUCUGCAAUUUCUUAAUUUGACUUAUGCGCGCCCUGGGCUUCUGUUUACCCUAGUUUUCAGUUAUAAAAAGAGCACGCAUCAUAUGGUAAAAGGGGCGGUGAAUUAACAGCAAAGAAAUCAAGAGGAAAAGAAUGAAAAAUCAGAAUUCAAGGGAGAACAAGUCUGCACCAGUGAAGAUAUUGGCAUAACUAUUUGGAUUCAAUUUUCAUCGUUCUUUACUUAUCCCUUUUCUUACUCUUUGAUUGAACCGAUGGAUUUCAUCGCUGAUACUUUGUUGUUUGUUUUUCUUUUCCAAAGUAUGAACUAAAUUUGAUUGUAAUUGAGUGACAAACAAUCUCAAUGGGUUCUUGACUGUUCUUAUGAGUUAUUAAAAGAUUGCUGUAGCAUUUUGCUGUAAUAGCUUAUAUUAGAAUUAUUAUUUCGGUUGACCUCCCAUUUAAUGGUUCAAGUUAAGAGAGAGCCACAAAAUGGCAUGUCUUAGUGGAAAUUAUUAGAGUAAUACUUGAUCUUAAUUUAAGUUUUCUGGAUUGAGUUUAACUUGAGCCCCAAAAGAGCCACACUUGAGUUAAGAUUUGUGAAGAACUAGAUAUAGGGAUUCACCUUAUAGGGUAGAGGGGGUGUAUGUUCAUAAUGCCAUACCUUAGGUGAAAUGACAACUGGUCAUUGUUAGAGUGCUUAAGGGUAUGAGAAGUCCAACAAGCGACAGCUGAGGAUGCAAAAUAAUUUUGCACUGUGCUGUUGGAAUUGCUGUAAUAACUGGUGUUUAUUUGAACAGAACAGUCAGCCCAUGAAUAGAGUUUGAUCAUUCAGCUACCUCAUUCUCAUUAAAUUCUUCUUUACGCAAUUCAUCUAAUUUACUUUAUUACUGCAUUUAUUUUAUUAAAAUUGUUAAUUUCGGUAGUAAUAAACUUUAAUUAGAUUUCUCUUUAGAUAAAAGAAAUUUGCACUGUCGUGAUUGCUAUAGCAUUUCUAGUAAUAUCAGUUCAUGUGGAGACGAUCUUGAAUAUUCAUCAUUUUAUUACUUGUUGUGUACACUUGCACAUGAUAUCAAUAGCAAUUGAGUUAAAUUAAAUAACAAGUUUUUGGCGCCGUUGCCGGAGAUUGAUUGUUUAUUUUUGAAGUGUGAAGUCAAUCUUGACAAAUGCCAACUUGAUCUAAUUCAUUCUAUUUAUUGACAGAUCAUGACUUGCAUGGGCAAAGGCAGAUCUGUUGAAUUUCAAUUUGAUCCUGAGAUUGAAAGGACUGUAAGGAGAUUGCGAAGAGAGUGAAGAAAUUCAAAAACUGUUUCAAAAAUGGAUAACUUGCAAGAUGUGGGAAACUUGGAUCCUCACGGGCCACUACAACCUGUCAAUGUUCAAGAGGGGCAAAUGGGCACGUUAAUCAAAGACAACCAAGCAACAACAAUAUCAUUUACAUGGAAGACGAUAGAGAUAGGGUUAUCAGAGAUUAUGUUGUGUUAACUCCUUAAGUUGUACAUCUUGGAAUAGUCAGACCUGAAGUGGAAGCCGCCAACUUUGAACUUAAACCGGUAAUGUUUCAAAUGCUACAAAUAGUGGGUCAAUUUAAUGGACUGUCAUCUGAAGAUCCUCAUCUCCAUCUUAAGUUUUUUUUGGAAGUAAGUAAUGCUUUUAAAACUGCUGGAACAACGCAUAAUGCUUUGAGACUGAGGCUUUUUCCUUACUCCUUAAGAGAUCGAGCAAGAGCAUGGUUGAAUUCCUUACCAUCUGAUUCCAUCACUACAUGGAAUGACUUGGCUGACAAAUUCUUAAUGAAAUAUUUUCCACCAACCAAGAAUGAAAAAUUGCAAAAUGAGAUCACCUCUUUUCAUCAACUUGAAGAUGAGAGCUUGUUUGAGGCUUGGGAGAGAUUUAAAGAGUUUCUCAGAAGAUGUCCUCAUCAUGGCAUUCCCUGUUGCAUACAGCUAGAAACCUUUUACAAUGGGUUGAAUCCAAGUACAAGAUUGAUUGUCGAUGCUUCAGCAAAUGGAGCCCUAUUAUCCAAAUCUUACACUGAAGCUUAUGAAAUUUUGGAGAGAAUUCCUAACAAUAACUACCAGUGGCCAUCAACUGAAAAACUGUAGCAAGAGAAGCAGCAGGGGUACAUAACAUAGAUGCAAUUACAGCACUGUCAGCUCAAGUAACAUCAUUGACUAACAUGGUAAAAGCCAUGACUUCUACUUCUACAGUAGUAAAGCAAGUUGCUGAACUAUCUUGUGUGUAUUGUGGUGAGGAGCAUGUAUUUGACAAACUGUCUAGGAAAUCCAGCAUCAGUAAACUAUGUGGGAAACUUCAACCGACAGCCCUAGAACAACCCAUAUUCAAGUACUUACAACCCUGGAUGGAAUCAACACCCAAAUUUCUCAUGGAGCAAUCAAAAUCAGCAUGCUUCAGCACCUAGUGGACAGAACAAACAUGCUCAUCCACUUGGUUUUCAUCAGCAAAAUUAAGAGCAAAAACACACUAGCCAUGAUCAAAUCACCUCAUUGGAAACACUUUUUAAGGAAUGUAUCGUAAAGAAUGAAGCAAUUGUGCAAAAUCAAGCUGUAUCUCUGAGAAACCUGAAAAACCAAAUUGGACAGUUUGCCACAGCAAUGAGUAGUAGAUCUUAGGGAAGUUUACCCAGCAAAACAGAAGAUCCAAGAAGAGAGGUAAAAAACAUUGUAAAGUAAUCAACUUAAGAUAUGGGAAGAAUGUUGAUAUUGCUGUUGAUGUGACUAAAAAGAGGUUGGAACUUAACUCCUCACAAGAACCACCUCAAGAUGAAAUGAUGUUACAGCAACCCAGCCACUAAGAUACUGGCACUAGUGGUCAAGCUACAGCAACCUUGGAAGAAAAUCACCCAAUACCUAUUGAAGAAGAUGUUGCAACACCAGUGGUGACAAAUUACAAUAAAUCAAAUGAGCAGAUAUUGGUACCUCUUGAAGUUGUACAACAAUUUAGGCAUCCACCUCCUUUCCCACAGAGAUUCCAGAAACAAAAACAAGACUAAUAGUUUAGCAAAUUCCUGAAAGUGCUGAAACAGUUACACAUCAACAUACCUUUUGUGGAAGCAUUAGAGCAAAUGCCUAAUUAUGUGAAAUUUCUAAAAGAUAUUUUAACAAGAAAAAGAAGGUUGGGAGAAUUUGAAACUGUUGCUUUAACACAGGAAUGCAGUCACAUGUUUCAGAGUAAGAUUCCUAAAAAAUUAAAGGAUCCAGGAAGCUUCACAAUAUCAUGUUCAAUUGGAACUAAGUACAAUGGCAGAGCACUCUGUGACUUGGAGCCAGCAUUAAUCUAAUGUCAUUAUCUCUAUUUAAGCAAUUAGGAGUAGACUUUGAGUCUGAUAAAGAGGUACCAAUUAUAUUUGGAAGACCUUUCCUGGCAACCAGGAAGACUCUGAUAGAUGUUCAGAAAUGAGAGCUAACCAUGAGGGUGAAUGACCAACAAGUCACCUUCAAUGUAUUAGAAGCUAUGAAGAGUCCUGAUGAGGCAGAAGAUUAUAAUUUUUUUAGUGUUGUGGACCUUGUUGUGGCAGACAGAAUAAAUAGAUGCUGCAGUAAAAAGGUUAUCAAAGCUGCCACCUUUGAAAGCUUUGAAGAAGAAAAUGUUACAGCAAACCAGAUAGAUUGGAUGGUAGAAAGGCAAUCUAAAAGACAUAGCAGAUUUAUCGAACCUCUAAAUCUUUCAAACAGGGACAUAAAGACAACUUUACCAUCUAUUGAAUCAACUCCUACUCUUGAAUUAAAAUUGUUACCUUCACAUUUGAAAUAUUCAUAUCUUGGUGAGAACAAUACACUUCCGGUAAUCAUUUCAUAUUCUUUAGAUGCAGAUCAAGAAAGAAGUCUGGUAUAUGUGCUUAGGAAAUAAAGAAAAACAAUUGGAUGGACUAUGACAGACAUUAAACGGAUCAGCCCAUCCAUAUGCAUACAUAAAAUUCUGUUAGAAGACUGCUAUAGCAAUUCAGUAGAGCAACAGAGAAGGCUAAACCCCAUUAUGAAGGAAGUUGUAAAGAAAUAAAUCAUCAAAUGGCUGGAUGUUGGGAUCAUAUACCUGAUAUCAGACAGUUCAUGGGUGAGCCCAGUACAAUGUGUUCCAAAGAAAUAAGGAAUAACAGUAAUAGAAAAUGAAAAGAAUGAACUUAUUCCUACAAGAACAAUGACUGGAUGAAGGGUAUGUAUGGAUUAUAAGAAGCUCGACAAAGCCACACGGAAGGAUCACUUCUACUUUCAUUUAUAGAUCAAAUGUUAGACAGAUUUGCUGGAAAAUAAUAUUAUUGUUUCCUAAAUGGGUAUUUAGGUUACAACCAAAUUGUUAUACCCCCAGAAGAUCAGGAAAAGACUACAUUCACCUGUCCUUAUGGAACUUUUGCCUUUAAAAGAAUGCCCUUUGGUCUGUGUAAUGCUCCAGCAACUUUCCAGAGAUGUAUGAUGUCUAUUUUCUCAGAUAUGGUGGAGCAAACAUUGGAAGCCUUCAUGGAUGAUUUCUCAGUUUUUGGAGAAACAUACACUGAUUGUUUACAUAACUUGGAAGAAGCUCUUAAAAAAUGUGAGAUGACUAACUUAGUACUCAAUUGGGAAAAAUGCCACUUCAUGGUGCAAGAAGGCAUAAUGUUGGGUCAUAGAGUGUCCAAGAAUGGCAUAGAGGUAGAUAAAGCAAAAAUAGAAGUGAUAGAUAAACUGCCACCUCCCACUUCAGUCAAGGGUAUUAUAAGUUUUUUGGGACAUGUUGAAUUCUACAGAAGAUUCAUAAAAGACUUCUCCAAAGUAGCUAAACCAUUAUGCUCACUACUAGAACAUGACAAGCCUUUUCAUUUUGAUAAAGACUGUCUUUAAGCUUUUAAAGAAUUGAAGAAAAUUUUGAUCAUUGCACCAAUGGUUAUAACACUAGAUUUGACUCUAUCUUUUGAGCUGAUGUGUGAUGCCAGUGACCACUCUGUUGGGGCAGUGCUGGGGCAGAGAAAGAAUAAGAUUUUCCACUCUAUAUACUAUGCCAGUAAAACUCUUGUUCAAGCUCAGAUUAAUUACACCACUACAGAAAAAGAGCUGCUAGUAGUAGUAUUUGAUUUCAAUAAGUUUAAAGCUUACUUGGUGGGUACUAAAGUGACAAUCUACACAGAUCAUGCAGCCAUCAAGCACUUAAUCUCAAAGAGAGAUGCCAAACCAAGAUUAAUAAGAUGGGUAUUAUUGCUUCAAGAGUUUGAUUUGGAAAUUAAGGAUAGAAAGGGGACUGAAAAUCAAGUAGCAAACCAUCUAUCGAGGCUGAAAGCAAAUACGAGCACAUUGACUAAACAAGACAUCACUGAAACAUUUCCUGAUGAACAACUGUUAGUGCUAUAACAUGCACAGAUGCUACAGCAACCGAGAUCUCCAUGGUAUGGAGAUUUUGCUAACUACUUAGUAAGUGGAUUGCUACCACCUGGGUUGAAUUUUCAGUAGAAAAAGAAAUUUCAUUUUCAGUAGAAAAAGAAAUUUCAUUUUCAGUAGAAAAAAAAUUUUCAUUUUCAGUAGAAAAAAAAUUUUCAUUUUCAGUAGAAAAAGAAAUUUUCAUUUUCAGUAGAAAAAGAAAUUUUUUCAUGAUGUUAAAAGCUACCAGUGGGAUGAUCCAUACUUGUAUAAGUUAUGCUUAGAUCAGGUAAUCCGAAGAUGUGUUUCAGAGGAAGCAAUUUCACAUAUACUGCAAUAUGGCCAUGCUGCAGCAUAUGAAGGACAUUUUGGUGGACAAAGAACAACUGCUAAAGUUCUACAAUCAGGUUAUUACUGGCUUUCUAUUUUUAAGGAUACUUAUGAGUUUGCUAAACGUUGUGACAGAUGCCAAAAGACAGGAAACAUAACUCAAAGACAUGAAAUGUCAUUAACAAACAUUCUGGAAGUGGAGAUUUUUUAUGUAUAGGGAAUAGACUUCAUGGGCCUUUUCCCACCAUCCUUUGAGAAUUUUUAUAUCCUGGUUGCUGUGGAUUAUGUCUCCAAGUGGGUAGAAGCUGCAGCAUUACCUAUCAACGAUGCAAGAGCAAUAGUGAAUUUUCUUCAGAAAAAUAUUUUUUCCAGGUUUGGCACUCCACGAGCAAUUAUUAGUGAUGAGGGUACUCAUUUCUGCAACAAAGCAUUUGCUGCAGCAAUGGCCAAAUAUAGAGUCAAACACAAAAUUGCGACAGCAUAUCACCCACAAUCCAAUGGCCAGGCAAAAGUAUCUAAUAGGGAAAUUAAGAAGAUUCUAGAAAAGGUAGUGAAUCCUUCAAGAAAGGAUUGGUCAUUGCGAUUACAUAAAUCUUUAUAGGCUUUCAGAACAGCAUAGAAGACACCACUUGGCAUGUCUCCCUACCAAAUUGUGUAUGGAGCACAAAGCAUAUUGGGCACUGAAGCAAUUAAAUUAGGAUAUACAUGCUGCAACAGAGCAGAGGAAACUUCAACUAUGUGAACUUGAUGAAUUACGGUUAUUCUCAUAUGAAAAUGCAAGAAUCUAUAAGGAGAGAACAAAACAAUGGCAUGACAAGCACAUCCAAUAAAGAAAAUUAAUCCCUGGUCAACUAGUUCUGCUCCAUAAUACUAGGUUAAGACUAUUUCCAGGAAAGCUGAAAUCUAGAUGGUCUGGACUUUUCAAGCUGCUCAGAAUUUACCCUCAUGGGGCUGUUGAACUCUUAGAUGGAAAGACAGGCCAAGAAUUCAAAGUUAAUGGGCACAGAGUUAAGCAUUACAUGCAUUCAGUUACAGAUUGUUCAAAUGAGGUCGUACUCCUUAGUAAACCGGCAUUGUGAGCAUUCAAGAAAGGUCACGUUGAAGGACCUUAAAUCAAACAUUGAAUGGGAGGCAACCCAUUGCUGAGGCAGUCAUUUCAAAUGAAGUGGAUCCUCCAUGUUUUUGUUGUAGUAUUUAUUUAUUUAUUAUUUUUCUUAGUUAGGAUUGUUUAAUUUUUAUCUUUUAUUGUUUUAUUUUAAAAAAAAACGAAACAUGCCAAGUCACGCAAUUCUUAGAGUUGGAUUCAAUACUGACAAUUGGUGUUGUAAUAUUAACAGGUUACAAAGGCAAGUUACUUGACAGCAACCAUCUGAGGAGAUUGUUGUGCAGAUUGCUAGAGCAUACAUUUUGUUGCUGCAACAACCAAUUUUAUUAUUACAGUAACUUAACUACGGAGCCUCACAUUUUACCGUUGGAGAUAACAUGUGACAGCUAGUUGGGUGAACUCAGAUAAAGAUUGGGGAAGAAUGCAUAAUCUCUUAAAUAACUGCAUCAAUAUCUCUUUCCUAUUUUUAUGGGAUAUGCUUAAUAAAUUCAAAAAUUCUUCCCUAAUUUAUCUCUUUUACCAAAUUUAUUUUAUUUAUUUUGCACCUAUAUAAGAGUUUCAUUGUGCAUGUUGACCUCUAACACUAUUUUCUUUUCCCUUCACAGUCACAACCCCUCUAUUUUAUAACCUCUGCUCUUCGUUUCACUCUUGAACAUAUUACCACAGUUAUCCUACUACUGCAGUAAUGCCAAGGUAUAAAAGGACAGCCAGCCGACUAAACGAUCUAUCACAAUUUUAAAGUUACCAUGCGGAAGAGAAGUAUGAAGAAUUUAUUGAACCGCGCAAGAUUUUGGAAGAAAAAGGGCUUCAGUUCCCACCUCAACCCUCUAGAAUUGUGCAAUCAUUAUACGAUGCUGCAGCAAAGCACGGGUGGCUGGAGUUUUGUAACCACCCCCGAGAUCCUGUGUUGGAGCUAUUUGCAGCACUUGGAGGACCACCUACACCAAUUUGUUGUAUAUAUAAAAGUACCCAUAACAAUUUCCCUGAUUCACUGCUACAACAGUACAAUUUUGGUACCUCCAUUAUAGAAGUCAGUGAAGAUGUUGCUGACACAGAUAAACAUGAGGAAGAAACAGCAGCAGAACAGCAAGCAGAUGCUGAUAUAGAUGCUGAUAACCAGUCAGACCAGCAUGAAGAAUAAUGUGUCCAGUCUACAAUUGAUAGUUCCCCGACAGAGGAGGAGGAAAAGCAUGAGAAAGAACUCGAAGAACCCUCAGCCAGGACCUUUUCCAAGUCCAGGAAAAAGCACAUCAUACGAGAAAAGGAAGAUGAACCUGCAGAGGAGCCUCCCAUUCCAUUCCUCUCUCGAAAGGGCAAAGAGAAAGUAAUUACCCCUCCUGCAUCUGACGAUGAAGCCGAGCACAUUGAUGCAGAAUUGGAAGUUGCAGCAGCCAGGGUUACUCGUACACCCAUCGAGACAAAGCAUAUGCUUGAUAUCAUUGCCGCAAUCAUGACUGAGGGGUAUACAGUCGAAGACCCAACUCCAGCUCCCUCACGGCAAACCCCCAGCAAACCUAUUCUCGCUAGUCCUAAAGGACCCAGCAAAAGAAAGGGGGGCACUUCUGGAGGCAUUGCUGCAGUAGACACACCAGAGCCAAAGAGGACCAUAUCUGUUUUGUCCCAGCCAGCUGCACCCACUGCAACUCCUCCUACUAGCCCAUCGCAAAGAAAGAAAAAGUCAUUGCCAACUACCUCACCGCAAGAAUCUCCUAAAGACCGACUGCGGAGCGCCUCCAAAAAGCGGUGAAUUGGUUAUAAUUUAUUGCAGCAGUAUUUCUAGCACCAGGGGAGUACCACUACCCGCUAGUUUAUUUUACUUCUUCAUGCAACAACUUUUUCUUCAUUUAGUUUUAAUUUUCUGAUUUAUUUUGCAUGUCUUUUUAUUUAGUAUAUGCAUAUCUGGUUUAUAUGGUUUUGUUUUGUGUGCCUGUGAAGACACAACACCUUUCAAGUUUUGGGGGGUUGUGCUAUCAUAUAGUGUGUUAUUGAGUGCAUUGCAUGUGUUGUGGUGUUGUUUGUGAAGUGAAGCUCUGUAUCUACUGCUUAUGUAUGGAUUUGAAAGCCUAAUGAAGAUAAAUUGAGUGUUACUCAGUAUGUAUGAGAAUGCCCAGUAGGGAUAGUCAUAGAUGGAGAUUGAAAUUAUGUCCCGACACUUAGACUUUGGUUGAAAUUCAUGAGACUGCUGCAGCAAAAUCAAGAAAACUGCAAAGAGUAGAAAAUAUAUCAAGUUUAGGGGAAAUGUGUGUGUUGAGUUGUGCUUAUUAAAGUCUGUUCCAAUGGCUUAAAUGGUUGAGUAACUACGGCUGAGUAUGUACCCCAUAUGCAGACUUGAGUUAAAAAGCAACAAGAGUUAUGAGCAUUGUUGUAGCAAUUGAAAAAAAAAAGAAAAAAAAAAGAAGUCCUCUGUCUGAGAAAUUGAGUAGCCAUGUCUGUUAAUGAGCCCCAUGUUCAGCCUUGAGUUAAAGAUAUCUUUAGAUAAGACUAUGUUAUGACCAUUGCUAUAGCAACUCUGACAUGUACGUUGAGUAAGUAAUUGGGUGUCAUCAUUACAAGUGAUAGGCAUUCACAUGAAAGUUCAAUGUUGUAUUGAAGGGAGUGAAUAUAUAGAUAUAUAUAUAUAUAUAUAUAUUGUUUGUUGAAGCACAAUUUAUGUUUAUUUGUGAAUUAUGCUCUCCCAUAUAUGAAUAUAUUUGUGUUCUACCUUUGAAUUACAUGCAAUAUCUCUGUAAUGUUGUAGCAUCUCUGGACUUUGAUCAAAGUGGCACACACAUUUUGGACAGAAUGCAGCCUAAGUCUAGAACUGAACUGUUAUGGCUAUUUUGCAUGAUUAAGAGUGUGAUCUGAGGGUGGAAGAAUCCUUGCAACUUUGAUGAUAAAGCUGAGCUAUUUGUUGCAUGAUUGAGUGAUUGAAGUGUUAGCAUUGUUGUCAUUACUUAAAAACAAGUAAUGGUUUAAGUUUGGGGGUGUGAUAACUCUAUGAAAUGAGCGUUAUUAUGGUAAUGCUAGAAUUAAAUCAAUAUUUACUUAGAGAGUAAAUAAUGUGUUUCUAUUAUAUUUUUCUAUUGUAUUUAAUAAAUUUUACUUAGUUUAGAAUAAUUUGUGCUUAAAUUGUGUGCAUAAUUGUAGGUGUCCAGAAGCUCAUAUCUCAUGGAAGGAGUGCUGAUGCAAUAGGCUUGUAAAAAUGAGGAAGAACAUGGCUACAAAAGAAUUGAAACAAAUCUGGAACAAUGUAGUGUUGUAGCCGUUGCUGUAGCAACCAUUACUGUAGCAAUCCUGGAACAACGACAGAGAAAAUUUAGCGCGGGAUACUUGUAGAAUCGAGAUCUGCAGUUUUCUAAUCUGACUUAUGCGCGUCUUAGGCUUUUGUUUACCCUAAUUUUCAGUUAUAAAAAGAGCACGCAUCAUAUGGUAAAGGGGGCGGUGAAUUAACAUCGAAUAAAUAAAUCAAGAGGAAAAGAAGGAAAAAUCAGAAUUCAAGGGAGAGCAAGUUUGCACUAGUGAAGAGAUCGGCAGAACUAUUUGGAUUCAAUUUUCAUCAUUCUUUACUUGUCCCCUUUCUUACUCUUUGAUUGAACCGAUGUAUUUCAUGGCUGAUACUUUGUUGUUUGUUUUUCUUUUCCAAAGUAUGAACUAAAUUUGAUUGUAGUUGAGUGACAAAUAAUCGCAAUGGGUUUUUGACUAUUCUUAUGAGUUGCUGAAAAAUUGAUGUAGCAUUUUGCUCUAAUAGCUUAUAUUACAAUCAUUAUUUCGGUUGACUUCUCAUUUAAUGGUUAAAGUUAAAAGAAAGCCGUAAAAGGGCCUGUAUUAGUGGAAAUUAUUAGAGUAAUACUUGAUCUUAAUUUAAGUUUCCUAAAUUGAGUUUAACGUGAGUGCCAAAAUAGCCACACUUAAGUUAAGAUUUGUGAAGAACUAGAUAUAUGGAUUCAUCUUGUAGGGUAGAGGGGGUGUAUGUUCAUAAUGUCAUACCUUAGGUGAAAUAACAACUGGUCAUUGUUAGGGUGCUUAAGGGUAUGAGAAGUCCAACAAGAGACAGUUGAGGAUGCAAAAUAAUUAUGCCCAUGAAGAGAGUUUGAUCAUUCAGCUACCUCAUUCUCUUUAAAUUCUUCUUUACGCAAUUCAUCUAAUUUACUUUAUUACUGCAUUUAUUUUAUUAAAAUUGUUAAUUUCAGUAGUAAUCAACUUUAAUUAGAUUUCUCUUUAGAUAAAAGAAGUUUGCACUGUCGUGAUUGCUGUAGCAUUUCUAGUAACAUCAAUCCAUGUGGAGACGAUCUUGAAUAUUCAUCACUUUAUUACUUGUUGUGUACAUUUGCAUAUGACAUCAAUAACAAUUGAGUUAAAUUAACCAACAAUGUGUUAGAAGCCAAGAUUAAGAAAGAAGAUGUGAAUGUGGCUAUAAAAGAUUCUGACAUUGAGACAUGGUAUAAAAAGUUUGGUCACAUUGGUGAAAAAGGGUUAGAAACUCUUGCCAGAAAAAGAUUUCUACCCAGCUUCGUAGAUAUGUCCCUCAAGACUUUUGCUCAUUCCUUAGCUGGAAAGACACACAGAGUAGCUUUUAAAAGGUUUUCUCCAUCUAGAAAGUCGCAAAUCCUUGAUUUGAUUCACACUGAUUUUUGCAUGAUGUAAAGUAGAUCAAUUGGAGGUGCACUUUAUUUUGUUACUUUUAUUGAUGACUAUUCUACAAAGGUGUGGGCUUUUGCUUUGAAAUCUAAAGAUCAAGUGCUUGAUAUAUUUAAGUUCUUCCAUACUUAUUUUGAGAGAGAGACGAGAAGAAAAUUAAAAUGCGUCAGGGUAGAUAAUGGUGGUGAGUAUAAAAGGCCAUUUGACCAAUAUUGCAGAUCCCAUAGAAUUAGACUUGAGAAGACCGUACUAAAACCCCACUGUAGAAUGGUAUUGCAGAAAUGAUGAACAGAACAAUUGAAAAGAGAGUCAGGUGUAUGCCUUCUGAUGCCAAGCUUCAUAAAUCCUUCUGGGCAGAGACUAUGCGUUCUGCAGUUGACUGGAUUAAAUUUUUCUCCUUCAGCUCCAUUGAUGGUGAUGUACCUGAGAUAGUUUGGACUGAAAUAUAUGUUUAUUACAAACACUUGAGAGUGUUUGGUUACAGAAUAUAUGUUCACAUUCAUAAGGAUGAAAGAUCGAAGCUUGAUGACAAAGCUAAAAAAUGCAUUUUCUUAGGCUAUGGGCAUAAAGAAUUUGGGUACAGAUUAUGGGAUCCAGUGCCAAGAAAAUUGAUCAGAAGUAAACAUGUUGUGUUCCUCGAAGAUCAAAUAGUUAGUGAUGCAGAGAAUAGUGAUGAGUCUCAGUCAUCUCUAAAGAUUCCUAUUAUUCUAACUUUAGUUUCUUCAUCUAUAGUUCAUAAUGAUCAUGGAGGAGCUGGAGAGGAUAGUAAUGAUGGUCCAGCAGAACUAGUUGACCAAGCACCUCCAGAACCACCUGCACCAUCAAUGGAGCCUGAAUUGAGAAGAUUUACUAGAGAACGGUGACCUUCCACCAGAUAUCCUCCACAUGAGUAUAUGAUGCUUACAGAUGAAGGGGAGCCAUAAUGUUUUGAAGAAGCCAUGUUUCAAAUAACUCACAAUAACGAUACAAGGCUAGACUGGUUGAUGGGGUACCUAGCAACUUCUUGUUGUGUGGGCUGAUCAGACUUUACUUUCUUAGUUUCUGAUUCUUCUUAUGCUUGCAUUGUUACAGCAUAUACGGAGGGUUGUGCCUUUUUACGCUUGUUGGAUGCCCUAGGAGUUCUGCUAGGAGAUUUGAUGGGAGGUUGUUGAGUAAUGCUUACUGUAGUAGUUUCCCCAGAUGUGAUUUUAGCAAUAAUAUCAGGGAAACUCUUAUUUGCUUCAUCAGUUUUUGUAGCCCUGGUAUCAGCUGCUUUAAUUUCUGCAUCAAUAUCAUCUUGAUCAUUGUCUGAUUCUUCAUCAGUCAGAACUUUUUGUUUACCUUUACUUAGAAACACUGUAAUCGGGGGUUCAUCAUCCUGCCCAUCCUAUGUCUCAUCUUCGUAAACUUUUAUGAUGUGCUUCUUUUUACGUUUAGGAGGUACUACUGGAGGUGCCUCAUCCUUCUACGUUGCUGAUUCGUCUUCUGUACUAUAUUCCUCCUCUAUUUCUUCUUAUUAUUUUUCCUUCUUCUCUUUCUCUUCCUCUGCUGGUAGUGGGUCUUUUUCAGAUUCUAAUUCUUCUUCACUCUCUGCUGCUGCCUCAACUACUGGAGCAUCCCUUGUUAAUGUUUGGAAAUUAAACGGCUACAACAAGGAGUCAUGGAAAUCUUUGCUCUUUUUCUUCAUGUAGACUUCAAACUAAUGUCUAUGGUUUUCAAGGUGCAUUAAAUAAUUCCUGAAUCUUUGAUUUUGUUCUUUCCAUGCGUGUACACAUUCAUUAAUGGUGUCACUUAAUUCUUGCAGCUUCAUCUCAAUGCCAGUAACGUUCAUUGCUCUGGUCACAACAACAUACUCUGGUGUUGCUGUAGUAGUAGUUUCCCUAGCAAUUCUUUCAACAAUUCGAUCAGUAAGAGCUCAUUCAUUCUUAAUGCUUUCAUCUUUUGCUGAUAUUUUCACCCGAAAUACCAGACAAAUCCUAGUAAUGAGUGAGCGAAACAACAAAGCAGCAAUCUUGUGAUUUUUCAUGGCACACUCUAAUCUCCCUCUCUAUAAUUUUCCUCACAUCAAUUGGUAUACCCUUGAAAAUGGCAUAUAAUAGGUAAGAUUUUCAUGAGAUACGGUGGUGGUGUAUGUGGUGGGUAUCAAUCGAGAUUUUAGAAAUUUUACCCACACUUUGGCUACUGGUUUCAAAUCAAUUCUAUUCACUCCUCUGCCUUCCUCAUUCAACCAUGAACUACCCUCCACCAUAAGGAUUUCAAGCACAUCACUUCACUCCUUAGCAAUCAUAUUCUCAAUCAUUUUUGAAUACUCACAAUCAAUAUCAUAUGGUAAAUUAUAAAAAAGCAUUGAUUACCCUCGGAUCUAAAGGGACUUGAACAUUCCUUACCACUAUUGUGCAUUGGUCUUGCCGCAACAUGUUGGAGUAAAAUUCCUUAACGAUUGGGAGCACAAGGUCUCGUGGGUGAGUGUAAAAAUCUAGCCAUCUUUUCUUUGCUACAGCAACAUAGAUUGUGUUGAUUGUUCCUGAUGGUUGUUGAGGGAAUUGAAAAUCAUUUUCCUCUAAAAUCUUCUUAGGCUCUAUAAAUUCUUCAAAUUAUCCUCGGCUUUGUCACUAUGGAAGCGUGAGGGGUCCUUUAGUCGAGCAGUUGUCUUCUUGUACCACGUUAUUGCUAGAGCAACAAAACUGAGUUGUUGGGUACCUAAAAAAGAAAAAACUCAUGAAAGUGACUCUAAAGUAUGUGGAGAACUGUGGACUAGAAGAGAAAAAAUUUGGAUAAGAAUGAAAAGAAGCAUUGUGAAACCCUAAUUUAUAGGUCACGGUAAAAUAGAAAAAAAUAAUUAAUGAGGUAAAUUUAGAAAUUGUAUUUGAAAUUUAAAAUAAAUCCACAUUUACGUUCGGGAAUUUAGGGAUUAUGUAAUCCAUUCUUAUUUUUUAUCUUGAUUUCUUGAGCCAUCUAUCAAAAAUUUACUCCCAACGGUGCAAAAAUACUUUCCAUAGUUAUGUCACUAUAACGGUAAGAAUCAUUGCUACAACAAGUAAUAUAGUGCUGCAGCAACUGCGAUAAAGUCCCUAGUUUGAUGAGAACCAUUGUUCAACUGUCAUAUAAAGUGUAAUGCUGCAACAUCUUGUGUCAGUGUUUUAUCCAAAAAAAAUUCAUUAUUAUUUAUACAUGCCGUAAUAAAAUAAUAGACACAAAUAAAUUAGAUAAAAACUUCAAAAUAUCAACAACCGUAAAGAAAAACAUGAAAACUAAAUUUAAUGUUAAAGGAAAAAUUGAAAUAACUCCCUUAAUCAUUGGGUUGCCUCCCAAUUAGCACUUUAUUUAAGGUCUUUCAGUCUGACCCCCCUUAAUUGCUCAAACUGGAUUUAUGAGGCACAAAUCCUCCCUUGAAUGGUGAAAAUCAUCAUUAAUAUAGUGUUUCACCCGCUGCCCAUUUACUAUAAAUUCAAUGCUAGUUCUCUCAUCUUUGAGGUCCACAGCCCCAUGAGGAUGGAUUUUGAUAAGUCCAAAAGGCCCUGACCAUCUAGACUUUAACUUUCCUAAAAAAAAGCUUUGAUCUAGAGUUGUAGAGCAAAACUCAUUGACCUAGAAUUAAAUCCCUUUGCUGGAUGCGUUUAUCAUGCCAUUGUUUUGUUUUGUCUUUGCAAAUCCUUGCGUUAUCAUAAAAGAACUAUCUUAAUCUUUAAACUCACAAAGUUAAAACUUCCUAUGCUCUGCUGCAACAUGCAUGUCCAUGUUCAGUUGUUUUAGCGCCCAAAAUGCUUUAUGCUCUAGCUCCAGUGGCAAAUAGAAAGCUUUGCCAUAUAUAAUUUUAUAUGGUGACAUGCCAAGUAGUAUUUUGUAAGCUGUGCGAUAUGCCUGUAAGGAAUCAUGUAAUCUAAAAGACCAAUAUUUUCUAGUAGGGUUCACCACUUUUUCUAAAAUCCUUUUUAUUUCCUUGUUGGACACUUCUGGCUGACCAUUAGAUUGAGGGUGAUAUAUUGUAGCAACCUUGUGCUUAAUUCUAUAUUUGGCCAAUGCUGCAGCAAAUAUUCUGUUGCAAAAAUGAGUGCUUUCAUCACUGAUGAUGGCUCUAAGAGUCCCAAAUCUUGUGAAAAUGUUCUUUUAAAUGAAUCUCACCAUGGCUUUGGCAUCAUUUGUUGGUAGUGUUACAACUUCCGCCCAUUUGAACACAUAGUUUAUAGCAACUAAAAUGUAUAAAUCCCCAAAAGAGGGUGGGAAUGGACCCAUGAAAUCCAUCCCCCCAACAUCAAAUAGCUCAACUUCUAAAAUGUUGGUUAAUGGCACUUCAUGUUUUUUAGAGAUGUUCCUUGUUAUUUGGCACCUGUCACAACAUUUAACAAACUUAUAAGCAUCUUUAAAAAUAGAGGGCCAGUAAUAACCUGAUUGUAUAAUUUUUUUACUGCUGGUCUGUGGCCUCCAAAAUGGCCUCCAUAUGCUACAGCAUGACAUGAUUGCAGUAUGUUUGAAAUUUCUUCAUCAGAUACAUAUCUUCUAAUCAUAUAGCCUGAGCAUAUCUUGUACAAAUAAGGUUCAUCCAACUGAUAACUUCUAACAUCAUUAAGAAAUCUCUUCUUCUAUUGGUAACUUAGAUUAAGUGGUAACAAUCAGCUCACCAAGUAAUUAGCAAAAUCUACAUACCAUGGAAGCCCAGAUUAUUGUAGCAUAUGUGUAUGCUUUAGCAUUAACAAUUGCUCAUUAAGAAAUGUCUCUGUGAUCUCUUGCUUGAUUAGAGUGCUUUCAUCUGCUUCCAGCCUUGAAAGAUGAAAUUCUCCUUGGUUCUCAGUCCCUAUUCUUUGUUUAAUCUCGAAGUCAAAUUCUUGUAGCAAAAGGAUCCACCUUAUCAACCUUGGUUUGGCAUCUUUUUUUUAAAAUCAAAUACUUUAUGGCUAAGUAAUCUGUGUAAACAGUCACUUUGGUGCCAACCAAAUAAGCUCUAAAUUUGUCAAAUACAAAGACAAUUGCUAGUAACUCAUUUUUCAAUGGUAGUGUAAUUAAUCUGAGCAUCAGCUAAAGUUUUGUUAGCAUUAUAAAUAGAGUGAAAAAUUUUGUUCUUUCUUUGCCCUAACACUGCUCCAACAGAGUGGUCGCUGGCAUCAGAUAUCAACUUAAAAGGUAAGUUCCAAUCUGGUGUUAUAACAAUUGGUGCUGUAGCAAAAGCUUUCUUCAAUUCUAUAAAAGUCUUUAAACAAAGCUUACCAAAAUAGAAAGGCCUAUCAUGCUCCAGCAGCUAGCAUAAGAGUUUUGAUAAUUUAGAAAAUCCUUAAUGAAUGUUAUAUAGAAUUAUGCAUGUCCCAAGAAAUUCCUAAUGCCUUUAACUGAAGUAGGUGGUGGGAGUUUACUAUUUUGACCUUCUCCACUUAUAUUCCUUUUCUAGAGACUUUAUGGCUUAGGAUUAUCCCUUCUUGUACCAUAAAAUGACACGUUUCCUAAUUCAACACUGAAUUUAUCUCCUCACAUAUUUUAAGCAUAUUUUCUAGAUUAUGUAAACAAUCAUCAUAGAUCUCCCCAAAAAUCGAAAAGUCAUCCGUGAAUACCUCAAGCGUUUGCUCUACCAUAUUUCAAAAAAUAGACAUCAUACACCUCUGGAAUGUUGCUAAAGCAUUGCACAAACUAAAGGACAUCCUUCUUAAAUCCUUCUGAAAUAAGCAAAAGUUUCAUAAAGACAAGUGAAUAUUGUCUUCUCCUUAUCCUCUAGUGCUAUAGCAAUAUGGUUGUAGCCAGAAUACUCAUCCAAGAAACAGCAGUACUUUUUUCCAACAAGUAUGUCUAGCAUCUAAUCUAUGAAAGGCAACGGGAAGUGAUCAUUCCUUGUGGCGUUGUUUAGCUUCCUAUAGUUCAUGCAAACUCUUCAUACAGUUACUGUUUUGUGGGAAUAAGCUCAUUCUUCUCAUUUGUUGCAAUAGUCACUCCACCUUUCUUUGGAUCACAUUGUACUGGACUCACUCAGGAGCUGUCGGAUAUUGGGUAGAUGAUUCCAGCAUCAAGUCAUUUGAUAAUCUCUUUCUUGGUCAAUUUGGGUGAGUACUUGCUAGCAAUCCUCUAGCAAUUAAUUUGAAUUCUUAUAGCUAUUUGACAACUAUUAAUUUAUGUUUUUAUAUUUUCAUAUUAAAUAUAUUUAUUUAUUUAUUUUGAUAAAUUUUUAAAAAAUCAUUACUUAAAUUUAAUUAAUGAAAUAUUUUAAAAAAAUAUUAAAUUGAUAAAAUAAAAUUAUAAAUAAUAACUAUUUGAUGACAUUAAACAAGUUAAAAAGUUAAAGGGGUAAUUUUAAAAGCUUUGAUUUCCAAAAGAAGAAGAAUUUGAAUUCUUCAAUUCUUUGUAUAAAAUUCAAAUUCUAUAUUAGGAUGAAUAGUAAAUUCUAAUAAAAUUUAAAUUCUUAUAUAUUUUGUCCAACCAAACAAUUAAAAAAAAAAAUUCAAAUUACUUUCCUAUUCUCUAUCCUCACCUCCCAACCAAACACCAUCUAAACUCCUUAAUAUGCCACCCACAUAUUCAAACACCUUUGAGAAUCAAAGUAUCCCAGAUCUCCAGUAAGGAACCACCCAAAUUGAAAAGUAGUCUUAUUAGCCUCAGGAUUACCUUUAAUCAAAGUAUCCCAGAUCUUGCUAGCAAUCCUCUAGCAAGAUCUUGUACAUACAUAUGGAGGGGCUGAUUCAUUUGAUAUCUUUCAUGGUCUAUCUAAUGGCCUUCUUGUAUCUCCCCAACAUUUCCACUCAGCUCUUUACUUGAUCUGCAUUCAAAGAAGAUGAAAUGAUUACAUGUAGUGUGUUAUUAUCACCAAGAUAAACAUAUUUUAGAUGUGAAGGUAGAAGUUUUAAGUAUAAAACAUGAGGUAAUUCAAUAGAUGGUACAGCAGGUUUCACUUCCCCAUUUGAAAGAUCUAGAGACUCAAAAUGUCUGUUUGUCCUCACAGGUCGCUUCUCUCUUAACUAUGCUAUAUGCGUUGCUGCAGCAUCUUCAUCUUCAAGUUCUUCAAAUGUGGCGGCCUUGAUUUCUUCAUUGUUGCAGCAAUUAUUUAAGAUGUCUGUGACAGUAAGCUUCACAGCACCGACCAAAUCACAAUCUUCAACUUCAUCAAGACUCAUCAUUGCUUCCAAUACAUUAAAGGUAACUUACUGAUCAUUAACCCUCAUACUCAACUCUCAUUUUUUAACAUCAAUUAAAGUUUUUCCUGUGGCUAAAAAGGGUUUGCCUAGAAUAAUUUGUACUUCUUUAUCUGCUUCAAAGUCCAACACUAUGAAAUCCACUGGAAAAAUGAAUUUAUCCACUUUAAUCAAUACAUCUUCAAUUUUGCCUUCAGGAUAAGCAUGAGAUUUAUCAGCAAGUUGCAAUGUCACUGUGAUUGGUCUGACUUCUCCAACUCCCAAUUAUGUGAAUACUGAUAAUGGCAUAAGAUUAAUGCUUGCUCUCAAAUCACAAAGUGUCUUACUAUUGUAUUUAGUUCUUGUGGAACAAAGAAUUUUAAAACUUCCUGGAUCCUUUAACUUCUAAGGAAUUUUACUUUAAAGUAUAUGGUUCCAUUAUUGUCUUAAAGCAACUAUUUUGAAUUCUCCAAGCCUUUUUUUUCUUGCCAAUAUAUCUUUAAAAAACUUCACAUAAUUUGGCAUUUGUUCCAAUACGUCCACAAAAGAAAUUUUGAAAUGCAGUUGUUUUAAUACUUCCAAUAAUUUACUAAACUGCUUGUCAUGUUUUUACUUCUGAAAUCAUUACGGGAAGAUUUCCCCUUGGGUAUAAUUAGGUUAUGUUCUUCUUUUUGGUACUUUAACUAAAAUAUGAACAUCCUUUUCAGACCUUAAGUUAAUCACCUUGCAAUGCUCUUUUCUUUCUCUUCUUGGAUCCUCUGUAUUGCUUAGUAAAUUGCCCUAAGGUAUGUUGCUCAAUGCUGUAGCAAGCUGUCCAAUCUGAUUCUCCAAGUUUCUUAAAGAUAUGGCUUGACUUUGGACUACUACUUCAUUCUUCACAAUAUACUCCAUAAUUAGAGUUUCAAAGGAACUAAAUUGAUCAUUACUGGUGUUUAUUUUCCCUUAAAAUUGCUGAUGAAAUCCAAGUGGCUAAGCAGGUCUGUUAUGUCCAUUAGAUGUUGCAACAUGCUGAUUCUGAUUGCUCCAUGAAAAGUUUGGGUGCUGUCUCCAUUCAGGAUUAUAGAUGUUUGAAAAUGGAUUGGUUUGAUUUUGUCUAUUGAAAUUGCCCGCAUAAUUGACUAAGCUGGAUUUCCAGGACAACUAUCAUAUAGAUGUCCCUCUCCACAAUAAACACAAGAGACUUCAGCAACUUGGUUAGUUGUUGCUGGAGCAGUGGUCGUUGAUUUUACCAUAUUUGUUAAUGAGGUUACUUGGGCUGAUAAUGAUGUCAGUGCAUCCACAUUGUGUACUCCAGUUACUCCUCUUAUUGCGGCUUGUCUAAUUAAUGGCCAUUAAUAGUUAUUGUUGGCUAUCUUUUUCAAAAUUUCAUAAGCCUCAUUGUAUUACUUAGACAACAAGGCCCCUAGUGUUUGAGUUCAACCCAUUGUAGAUAGUUUCCAAUUGUACACAACAAGGAAUACCAUGAUGAAGGCAUCUCCUGGGUAACUCCUUGAAUCUUUCCCAUGCAUCAUACAAGCUUUCAUCUUCAAGUUGAUGGAAAGAUGUGAUCUCAUUCCUCAACUUUACAUUCUUUGUCGGUGGGAAAUAUUUCAUCAAAAAUUUGUCAGCCAAAUCAUUCCAUGUGGUGAUGGAGUCUAGUGGCAAAGAAUUCAACCAUGCCCUUGCUUGAUCUCUUAAAGAAUACGGGAAAAUUUUGAGUCUCAAUGCAUCUUGUGAUGCUCCAGCAAUUUUAAAAGCAUCACUUACCUCCAAGAAUAGUUUAAGGUGAAGAUGAAGAUCUUCUUAUGGCAAUUCAUUGAAUUGCCCCACUGUUUGUAAUAUCUAAAACAUCACUGGUUUGAGCUCGAAAUUGACAACUUGCAUUUCAGGUCUAACUAUUCCAGGAUGUAUAACUUGAGGGGUCAACACGGCAUAGUCUCUAAUGGCUCUGUCUCUAUCAUCUGUCAUGUAGAUAAUAUUGUUGUUCCCUGGUUGUCCCCAAAUAUUCUGCUCAUUAUGGCUUUCUUGGUCAUUAACUGGUUAUAUUUCUCUGUGAGGGUUCAAGUUCCUCAUAUCUUGCAAAUCGUCCAUUACUACAGCAGCUUUUGAAUGCUUAUUCUCUUUCCUCAAUCUCCUUACAAUUCUUUCAAUCUCUGGAUCAAAUUGGAAUUCAACAUGUUUGUAUUUGCGCAUGCAAGGGUUGGUAGAGCUCUUCUACAAACACAUUAAAAAAAAAGAAAAUUAAAAUCUUGCAUCAACUAAAAUUGAUUUCACAAAACACAAUAAGCACCAAUCCCCGGCAACGACGCUAAAAACUUAUUGUAGGUUUUCUAAUGCUAUUAGUGUCAAUGUGCAAGUGCACAUAACAAGUAAUAUAAUGAUAAAUAUUCUAGAUUGUCUCCACAAGGAUUAUUGUUAUAGGAAUUGCUACAACAAUUUUAUCAGUGCAAUUUUUAUUCUAAAUUAGAAUUAAAAUAAAUUAUUAAAUUAAUGAACUAAUUAAGAUAAAAAUGCAAUAAGAAAAAUACAAUAACAUAAAUUAUCACAGCAAAUAUAAGGAUGUAACCAAGGGGAAUGGAGUAGUUGAGUAAUUAAACUCACUUAAUGGUUUUGAUUAUUUUUCUAAUGUUUGGUUCGAUUACUACAACAUCUUCUACAGCACUGGGAAGAAUCCUUAUGUAUCCUCAAUUGUCGCAUGUUGGAUGUCUUAUACCUAAAAACAACUUAACAAUGACCAAUUGUUAUGCUAACAUUAGAUAUAGCAUUACACGUUUUAGAUUCGAAUUACCCUACAAGGUGAAUCCUUAUAUCUAGUUCAUCACUAAUUUUAGAUUACGCAUGACCUUUUUUUAAUCAGGUUAAACCCAAUUCAGGAAACCCAAUCUAAACCCAACUUAGGAAACCUAAUCUAAACCAAGUAUUGUUAUGAUAUGUUCCACUAAGACAGGUCUUUAUAGGCUCUAUCUUAGCUAAUAUCACUAAAUGGGUGGUCAGCCAAAAUAGUGAAUUGAAAUAAGUAUUAUUAAAACAACGUACUAUAGCAAACAUGCCCCAAUAUAGUAUAUCAGUCAAUUAACUAUCAAGUUUGCUCAUCGCUCAACCACGAGUAAAUUUAGUUCAUAAUUUGCAAUAAAACAAUAAUCAAAAUAGUUUUAGCCAUCAAAUAAUCCAUCAUAACAAGAUAAAAGUAAGAGAACAAAAAAUAAGAGUUGAGAUCUGUUUGAUGUUCUUCUAGAAUUCUUUGUUGCCGUCUUCGAUUCUCUCUCUUGAUAUUUGUUUUAUCUUGUUUUGUUUCUCUAUUGUUUCUCUCAAAUGACGGUCUCUCCUUUUUCUUUGCGUUUGUACUUCUUUUAUAUCUUAGCAUCAGGGCAACCGGAAGCCUAGGGUGCGCAUAUUCUAGUUUAGGAAACUCAAGAUCGCAAUCUUCCAAGUAUUAUAAGCGAAAUCUUUUCUGCCAUUGUUCCAGGAUUGCUACAGGAACAAUGCUACAGCAAUGGCUUCAGCACCUGCACUGUUCCAGAAUUGUUUCAAUUCUUAUAUAACCAUAUUCUUUCUUUAUCUUUGCAAGCCUAUUGCAGCAGCAUUCCUCCCUUGAAAUUUGAGCUUCCGGUCACCUAUAAUUAUAUUAUGAUCUAAGCACAAAAAUUAUUCUGAAACAAUGCAAUUUAUUAAAAUAAACUAUGGAUAUUCAUACAAAAUAUAACUAAAAUGCAAUAAAAAUAUGCCAUUUACUCUCUAAGUAAUCUUGAUUUAAGUCUAAAAAUGUCAUGAAAACUUUCAUUUCACAGAGUUAUCAGCAGCAAAAGGGUUAAUCCAACUAUUGAUUUAGAUCAAGUCUAUAAUGACAAUAACCCCUAACUAUUUGAGCUUAAAGCUCUUGCCAGCAAAUGGGCAAUUGGGAUGAAAGUCCUCUAUAAACAACUUGAAUAGAUAAGUAAAGAAAAAAAAAUGUGGCUUCACUAAGUCAAAACAAAACAUAUAAUCUAUUCAUUCAGUAAAAAAGAAAACAUUUUAGCCAAGCAAGCCAUCUUGAAAAAGAAAAAGGCAAUAUAUGAGAAUCUCGUGGAAUCCAACCUGCCAACACACAGUGGGAUAUGCAAGGUGCUUAAUCAUCAAUCAGAUUCUGGCUUUUGCUAUAAAAAAAAAAUCAAAAGAAUAAUCUAGUAAGGAAGACAUGCCGCUAGAUGAAGAGCUCAUAAUUAACACGUGACAGGAGGCCACUAAAAAGAUAAAGAUGCCAACUAGAAGCAUUAAUAUUUCAGAAAGAAUCCAAAGUAAAGGAUAAGACUUAUCGAAAUCCUUACCUCAACCAUGUGAAGACUAUCAACCAUUAGAAAAAGAAGACAAAAGUUGCCCUUAAUAAUGCAAGAAGAAGGGGUUACCUUAUCUCUGGGAAAUCUAUCAGGCAACAAGUGUCAUGUAAAAAGAUAUAAUCUUAUCUCUAAAAUCUAUAUGUGUAAGAAAGGAUUAUCUUAUCUAUCUAAAUCUAUAAAUAAAGUCACGUAAGAUAGAAGAGGUAUCACUCACGAGCAUUCUCUUAUUCUCAUCUGUAUUCUCUCUUUAAAUUCAAAAAUUAAAUAAAAAAAUUGUUUUUGAGUGAAAUUAUUAUCUUUAUAUAACUUAUUUAGAUUUUAGAAAAAAAAAAUCAAGAAUAUACAUGCCAACACUUGUGCUAAAUAAAGAAGAUUUCAUAUUACUAAGCACUCUUCUAUAUCAAUUACAACAGAUUCACUUAGGCAUAUCUUACUGGCUUAGUCUGCAAUGUGUUGCUUUAGGCCGUGUGGAAUAGUUGUGGGAUUGAUCUUGCAUGAUGUGUGGAGCUAUAACAGUGCUGAGCAUGGGCCAAUUUAUAGGCUCAUGGAACUAGCAAAAUUAUUCUAGAAUUUUGAGGAUUGUACUCUAGUUAGUACUCUAAAUUAUCUUAUUAUAUUUUGCACAAAUAAAUGAUAUAGAGUGAUAAUAGCAACUCAAUUUUCAUAAAACAUGGAAAGAUGAGUCGCCAAAUUUCUAGAUGCCAUAGAUAAUCUAGACUUUAGUAAGGAAUAUCAAGUUAUUUAUACAAUGAAAAUUGUUAAAUCUCGAUUAAUUGCAAGGAAGCACUUGUAGAGAGAUAUAGAGAGAAUAAACUAUUAGCCUAAAAGGGCUACACAUAUUGUAAUUUUGAUGAUAACAAACAUGUGUCUUAAGUGAUUUGAUAAAUAUUGUAUAUCACAUUUUCAUUAGUUCUUGAAAGAUAAUAUUUAUGAUGAAGUGAAUCACGAAAAAUCAAGCUCAAGACACUCAACGGACAACGGCGUGAUCAAGAAUAAAGUUUAGAGUUCAACGGAAUCAUUAUUGCGACAAUUCUUGUAAAGCCGGUAUGAUUUAAAAUAUGAAUGAUUUAGCAUUUAAAAAGCUCAAGAUUUUGUUUAAUAAAUCAUUAUUUUUUCAUAAAUCAAAAGUUUUACAAGUAUAAGCUAAGUAUUUUAUGAAAUUAGUUAUUUUUCAAGAUGUGGACUAAAAUGAAAAUUUUUUACAAUCUUUGAUUUUAAAAAGUAUUGUUUUGAAUUCCAGAGUUUGACUUAUUUGCAAACAUUUAAAACUUUUUAGGUCAUACUAUAAUUUAUGAACGUUUGAGGACCCGAAGUGAAAAUAUCCAAAAAUUUGAUAAAGAGUUAGCGGCUAAUCGCCUGAGGGCUAGCGGCUAGCUGCCUAAGGAAAAUCUCAUAUUUUCAAAUUUUGGACUAAAUUAAAAGAUUUUGAGAACUUUGAAAUUUAUAAGUAUUAUGUUAAAUUUUGAAAAAAAUUAUUAAACUUUGGACCAUAUCAUAAUUUCAAAAAGUUUUUAGAAUAACAAGUAUUAUUUUAAAAUUCAAAAGUUGGACCUGUUUGUAAAGUGUUAUAACGUUUUGGGCCAUAGUAUAAUUACAUAAAGUUUUGGGCACAAAUGUAACUUUAUUGUUCUGAAGCAACGAGCCGGAUAAAUUAAGUGGCUAGUCACUUGUUUGCUGGAAUUUACCCAUAACGGCUAAUUUUCAAGCUUUAUCUAUAAAAACUCAACUCCAACUUCAAUUUGGAGACUUUUGCAAGCAUAAACAAGUGCAUAAAAUAUAUAUUGAGCUUUUAUUUCGCAAAUCAUCUUAUAUUGAAUCAUCAUUGUGCUAUUAUUUGUAGAUCUACUCUAAAAGAGAGUUUUUUUUGUUGUAUUAUUCAUUUUUCUCAUCAAAUUUGUAAGUGUAUAAGUGUGAGAAACACUUAUGUGAAGAGAUUGAGAGAUAAUCUCUUGGUUGUAAAGGUUUAUUGACAUCUUGAAAGUCAAAUGUAAUGAACUUGAAGCCUUGGGAAACUUGAAUAGUGAAAUCCUUAAGGUUGGUUGGCUUGGAGGCAUGGACGUAGGCGGGGAUUGCGGAACCACGUAAAAAUUAUUGUGUUUGCUCUAUUUUCCCUUACUCUUCUAUUAUUGUACUUUAUUGAAUUUUUUAUUUUUUAUUUGAUUAAGACAAUAGAUUGAAUUGUUGUGCGAAUUGUUUAGCGUAAGUUUUAAAAUCUCAAUUCACCUCCCCCCCCCCUCUUGGAUUGCAUAACUUGCAUUUCAUAAACUUUAAAGAUAAUAAUUAAAUAUACGACAGCUUUAAGGAAGAAAAUAGAAUAGUAUUAAUAGAAUCUAUUUUAACCGGUCUUGAAAUAAUUCAAGACAGAUGCAAAAUAAAUAACAGGACUCUAAACCGUCCAUAAUAAGUCUAUUGAUGAAUAAAAACAAUAAUAGUGAUGUGAAUAUAUUCGGAUUUUAUAGAUUUUUAUGAAUUUGAUAACCAUUUAGAUCUUUAUAAAAUUAUAAUAAAACUUUAAAAAGCUUUAAAAAUAUAUGUAGAAAAGAUGGAAGAAGAAAUCAUCCAUUUAUUCAAAAUCAAUUAAACAAAAAUAAAAGGUAAAAUACUUGAGUUAUAUCAAUUAUACAAUUUCACAAAAAUUUUACAUAGAUUGCAAAAAGGUCCUUGUGGCACUACAGCAGGUUUCAUAAAUUUUUUACAUACAAAUUUUAUGUUUUAAAAUAUGAAUUUUUUUUUGUAUUUAAUACUUUGUUCAACUAUAUGUACAGGUCCUCAACGUGUUGGUUGAUGUUGAAUAUUCAAAGAUCCACAAGCUAUCAAUGACAACGACUCAAAUUAAACUAAUUCGUUAAUACAUAAUAACUGGGUUGUUUCCUAUGCUUGUUAAUGAUGUAGGACGUUGUUUUAGAAUUUUAGAAUUUUAAUUUUUUAGGUCUUCUGAUAUUUUCUUUUUUAAUUAAAGUUAGUGUCUUAGUCUUUUAUUUCUAUUGUAAUUAUGAUUUACUUUCCCUUUUUAAGUUAACUUAUAAAAGUAGAUUUACUCUAUUAUAAAUAAAGAGAUCUUGUUAUCGCUUUUAUAACUUCAACUUCAGUUAUUAAAUUAAAAACCCCUCUUUUAUAAUUUCCUUUGGUAUUAUCUAUUAAAAAUUCCUCUUUUAGAGUUGUUUGAUUAGAGUAUCAUUUAGCCUAUCUUAACACAGUAUUAAAAAUCCCAUUGAGUUUAAUCAUACUUCGAUUUGAGCGUAAUUAAUAGCAUUGAUUUGGUCCAGUACUUGAACGAUAUCUAGUGUUUUGCUUCUGCUACGCCCAAGGAGAAAAUGAAUUUCACCGUGAGAUAAGAGCAUUAAAAGGAAUUCAUAAGAAAUUUAAAUUAAAUUAGCUACGAAGUGAAAAUAAAUAAAUAAAUAAAUGAAUAUGAAGUUGAAAAUAAGUCUCGCCGCCUGGAUCCAAGGCCAAAACAUUCAUGAUAAGUUAGGUAAUUAAGUACAUGUUUUCAAGCUCUUCAUGAAGAAUAAUGUUAUUGAAAUAAAUCACAAAGACUCCCUGCGCAAAUUAUUACAUUGAUUAAAAAAAAAAUGCCAUAUCUUUAACAGGAUCGUGGCUCUCGGACUGUUAAUUACUUUAUUCCCUGCUUGGCCAACAGCUGGCCACUAAACAAAAUCAUAAAAAUUUUAAAUUUAGUCAAAUUGGUCCCACUUGAUGUCAUCCUUUUCAUACAUAAAAUUGUUUAACGUCAAGGUUAAAUAUGAGAAGUUUGGUAGAGACGGUAAAAAGGAAGUCUAUAUAAGGAGGGGAACGAGCUUUGUUUAUAGCACAAGUGAAACUCCACUUUAUUGAACGAUAGGGUCUCAAAUGGGCUGCCUCUUUGCCACUCUUUUGGUAGUAUCAGUCUCUCUUAGCUACUUGCCGUUAGAAGCCUCCGCAAACAAAUACUACUACACAUCUCCUCCCCCUCCCAAGUACAAGUCUCCACCCCCCCCGCCACCGGUUCACAAUUCUCCACCACCACCCCCGGUUUACAUGCCCCCGCCACCUCCUCCACCAGUCUACGUGCCUGCUCCGGCACCAACUCCAAUUUCCUAUUCCCCGCCACCUCCUGUCCCCAAGUCCCCACCACCACCUCACCCUUACGUCUAUGCAUCUCCCCCUCCUCCUUACUACUACUAGAAAGCGGCCAUGAAUAGCUCAUGCUUUUAUGGUAAUCUCAUUUAUUUUUAAAACU
RNAcentral lists this long non-coding RNA (58672 nucleotides) under Citrus maxima (pomelo). RNAcentral's name for it is "long non-coding RNA (CMAX_LNC002287)". The stretch from base 51618 to 51724 matches the Rfam family "Plant small nucleolar RNA R71". Lineage: Eukaryota; Viridiplantae; Streptophyta; Magnoliopsida; Sapindales; Rutaceae. The record is from RNAcentral.